RNAcentral lists this long non-coding RNA (80628 nucleotides) under Triticum aestivum (bread wheat). Its description in RNAcentral is "long non-coding RNA (TAES_LNC021487)". Lineage: Eukaryota; Viridiplantae; Streptophyta; Magnoliopsida; Poales; Poaceae. The record is from RNAcentral.
UCCCUAUGUUUUUAGUUUGGCAUCUGCUGGUCGUGGUUCGUUCGUAUGGUUUUGCAUUCGGAUGGAUUUUGAACCUGUGUUGGUGCCGAAGUAUUGCAGAAGGGCUGUUGACUUUUACUGUCAGAUGCUUUCGAAUCAGAUACCUUUGUGGCAGUAUUUGCAGAAGGAACUUUCUUGAAGUAUUUAUGUUGUUUCUAUUGCCAACUAUGUACUUUUCCAGUUGCAACUUCAUCAUGUACCUUAUAGUUCUGUAGUUGGUUUCAUGUACCGAAGUAUCUGUAUUUGGCUACUUGGGAUGUCGUCUGGUCUUAAUGAUAAUGUCGAAUGGUUUCUGGGCACUUGAUCUCAUUCUGGUUGCAGUUGCAGUGGGAUUUGGAGGAAUGGGAUAUCCAUAUCUUUUUGCAUCCAUCCUGGUAAUUUCUGGCUUGAGGUUGAGUUUGACAGCUGUGGACUUUUAAAUCUUCAAUUAUAGGGAGCUUUAUUCUCUUGGAAGUUGCUUCUUAAAGUGUCCACUGUUUUACUUUAGCCAUGAGACAUUGGUUUAAAGCGCGCCACAUUAUAUACAAUCUCAAAUUGGCGGUGUGCAUUUAAGGGUGGUGAUCAACUGAUCAUAAUAAUUCAUUAAAAGAAACUAGACCAAUAGGUGCUAGCUGCGGUGGCUUUAUAGUUAGGGCUCAUUCUGUUUGGAGGAAAUCAAAACGUAGGAAUUAGGAGUAGUAUAGGAAUAUGAUAGGAUGGCACUUGCCAUCCUAAGGAAUUGACUUGCCUCGUUCCUACGCGUAAAAUGAGCUUUGAGUGGAUGUGUAGUUUCCUCCAAAAACACGGGAAAUGAGUAGUAUUCCUACGAAAUUCCUGCACGCAUUUCCUACAAACCGAAUGCAUACAUAGGAAAUUUUCCUUUGGAAUCCUUAUUCCUAUGUUUUUCCUACGAAAAUCCUCCAAACCGAAUGAGGCCUUAAGGAGAGACAACCAUGAGGCCCACUGCAGAGCACAGGGCUUGGACACAGGUGUCAGGCUUGGUGCACGCCCGUGCACAACACCUAUAGCCAACUCGACGAUCAGUUGAGAAACUGAUCGUAAUUCAUAAGGAACAUUCUCUUCGAGGCAUGUUCUUUAAAAAGUAUCUUGAACUCAUGUUUGUUAAGUCAAAUUGCGCAACCAGUUGUGCCUGGGCUUUUCGUAAGUAGGUUCUUAAAUUGAUUAAUUAUUUGGUUAUAUGGUAUAUUCAUUUUUUUUGAAAUGAUUUGAUCUUCUUUUUCCCUCGCUGUUUUUGCUGGUGCUCUUGGUUUCAGCCAAGCAGUCCGUAAGUGUACUGGUAAACAAUGCCGUCUUAUGUUGCGUUUGUAUAGUGGGUUUGAUUAACAAUUUGGGCUCUACAAAAAUGAUAAAAAUCAUUGCGUUCCAAUCCAAGUAGAGAAUUAUCUGAUAUCCAUCAUAUUCUCUGCAUGUUAUUCAGCUUCUUGGUUUGUACUCCCUCCGUUCCUAAAUAUUUGUCUUUCUAGAGAUUUCAACAAGUGACUACAUACGGAGCAAAAUGAGUGAAUCUACACUCUAAAAUAUGUCUAUAUACAUCCGUAUGUGGUAGUCCAUUUGAAAUCUCUAAAAAGACAAAUAUUUAGGAACGGAGGGAGUAUGUAGCAAAAUCCUGGAUGCAGUAGCUGAAGUUGAUGUUGCACAGUAGUCCAUUUUUUCCAUUUUUGUUAUGACAACAGCGACGUAGUUUAAAUAUGUCUGAUGUUAGGUAAGAAAUAGGCGCAUCUAGAAAUAGUGAAGUAGAUUCGAAUGUAGAAUUUUAUCAAACCAUUCUGGUUGACAUUGCAGUGGGAUUUGGAGGAAUGUGAUAUUCAUCUCUUUUGCAUUUGUCCUGGUAAUUUCUCGCUUGACGCCGAGUUCGACAGCUGUGCCCUUUAAAAUCUUCAAUUAUAGGGAGCUUUAUUCUCCUUGGAAGUUGCCUCUUAAAGUGGGUCCUGUUUACUUUAAUGAUAGUGUCGACAUUCAGUCUCUUAACGGAUCAUAAUUCAUCAGAAGAAACAUGACCUCUUGAAAGCAUGUUCUGUGCAAACUAAGUGUCUUCAACGUUAUUAUAAAAGAUCAAAGCAUAGCUUUCAGAACUCAUGUUUGGUCGAAACCAGUCAUGCCUUGGCCUUUCAUAAUUAGUUUCCUGGGUAGGCAUUUCUUUUUGUUGUACCACACUAAACGAAUCAAAUUUCUGAUGAUGUUAAUUGCUUGUGUUACAUUUGCUGAUCAGCUAACUACAAACGUGUAGUAAAAUAGAUAAUUAUUCUAUAACAAUUGAUAUCUUUUUCCCGCAAAAAAACAACAAUUGAUAUUUGAUUUGCAAUGAUUUGAUAAUUCAUUUGGCUUUCAUGUUCUUGAUUUUAACCUGGUCAGUCCAAACAUCACUAGAAGUCUACUGGUAAACAAUGUCGGGUUUUGUUGGCUUUGUAUAGCUGGUUUGAUUGAACAAUUUGGGCUCUAGAAUUAUGAUGUAAAUCAUUUCCUUCCAAUCCAAGUUUAGGCUUGUUUUGCCUCUAUGUUUUUGCUGAUGAUCUUAGUCCAAACAUCACCAGAAGUCCAUCUACUGUUAACAUUGUCAGGUUUUGUUGGCUUUUUGUAGCUGGUUUUAUUGAACAAUUUUGGCUCUAGAAAAAUAAUAAAAAUCAUUCCCUUCCAAUCCCAGUUUAGGCUUGUUUUACCACCAUGUCUUGCUGAUGAUCUUGAUUUUAACCAAGUAGUCCAAACUUCACCAGAAGUCUGUAAACAAUGUUGGGUUUUGUUGGCUUUAUAUAAUGGGUUUGAUUGAGCUAUUUGGGCUUGAAAAAUGAUAAAAGUCAUUCCCUUCCAAUCCAAGUUUAGGCUAGUUUUGCCUCCAUGUUCUUGCUGAUGGUCUUGAUUUUAACCAAGCAGUCCAAACAUCACCGGAAAUAUACUGGUAAGCAAUGUCGUGUUAUGUUGGCUUUGUGUAGCGGGCUUGAUCGAACAAUUUGGACUCUAGAAAAAUGAUAAAAAUCGUUCCCUUCCAAUCCAAGUUGAGGCUUAUCCGAUAUCUGGCAUUUUCUCUGCUGGUUAUUCAGCUUUUGCUUCCAUGUAUUUGAAGAUCUAUCGUUGAACAUUUGUAGGCAUACUUUCUGUUCUUCCCAUUUUUGUUGUGACAACAAAACCGUAGUUUAAAUAUGCUUGAUGUUAAGGCCACAAAUACGUGGAUCCAGAAAUAGUUAAUUAGGUUCGAAUAAAGAAUUUUAUCAUACUAUAUGUCUGAAGUGUAGAUUCUUUUCCUGUUCUCUUGAUUGUCUGCCAGAGUGUGUUUUGACAAUGCUUUAGGCUAUGUUUGGCAGCUUAGUUUUUUAAAUACUGGCACAUAUGGCAUCAAGUAAUAGAGCAGUUCCAUAAACAGGUGUUUCUCCAAUACAAUGGUAUUUUUUAGUAUUUGAGAAAGUGCUCUGCAUCUCCUUUUUCUAAACCGAACUGAGAAAGACUCUGGUAUUAGCAACUGAAGUAUUCAUUGCCCAGGUAUUAAAUUACCAUGGUUUUGGAAUAACUAUGCUAUAGUAUCUGUUUGGUUCUGGCAAGUAUCUCAUGAAUAGUUCUGGCAAGCAUCUCCUGAAUGCUACUCCCUUCGUUUUUAUUUAGUCCGCAUAUUAGCUUUGGUCAAAGUCAAGCUUUGUAAGUUUUGACUAAGUUUAUAAACAAAAAUAUUAAUAUAUACAAUAAAAAUCAAUAUCACUAGAUUCAUUAUUGAAUGUACUUUCACAUCAUAUAGAUUUGUUAUGGUAAAUGUUUAUAUAUUUUUCUAUAAACUUGGUCAAACUUUGCAAAGUUUGACUUCGGUCAAACCUUAUAUGCAGACUAAAUAAAAACAGAGGGAGUACUAAGGUUCUGCCAACAGAUAAAUUUAAUGCCUGAAUGUUUUUCCUGCACUAGAAUAUAAAUUUGGUAAGGCUAGCUAGUUUGCAUGUGAAAACCGUGCCAGUCUAUUAAAUUACUCCCUCUGAUCCAUAUUAAUUGACGUUAAGUGUGCAUCAAUUAAUUUGGAUCGGAGGGAGUAGUAAUGUCAUUGGCCAAAUCAUGAUGUACAUGAUGAUAUGAAUUGUGUCCUUUUGAGCCAUGGUUGAAAAUGAAUGUAUCUAUAACUAAAAUAAGUCUAGAUACAACCAUUUCUAAGACAAGUAUUUCCGGAUGGAGGGAGUACUUAUCUGCUUGCCCAUAUUCUUAGUUGCCUUGCCUCUCUUAUCCUUUUCAAGUAGUGGUGGUAAUGCUGCUUUAAAUGUACCCGUAACCGUCAUCGCAUGAGCUUUUGAGUCUUUUUUUUUCGUUUAUUUAGGUUUAGUGUGAACAGUUAGCCGGUUGCAUGGCUAUGCUGCAUUAUGGCUGCACUCUUACUGUCAUGAAGCUUGUGUUCUGGGGUGUUGGGAACGAUGCCUUUGGUAAUUUGAUUGAAAAAACCAUUAUUAGGCAACUCGUGUCUAUAGUUAUUCACAUGUUGAGCAAGCGAAGUUUAUACUGUGAUGACGCAAGUGAAGUAUGCAUACAAGUUUUCAUUUCCUGUGGAAUCAUAUUGCUUCAGUUCUCAUGGCAUUAUAUUGUUCAAUUCCUCUGUAUCCUGUUUGUUGAGAUGUAUUUUUUCUGGGAAGCUCCAGUUUGACGACUCGACUGGAUUUUUACUGCACCGAUUAUGCAAAGUGAAAACCACCGCGCAGCUGUAAGUGUUUGGGGGUAGAUUUCUGAGAGAAGAGGUAGAUUGAGGUUUUGGUUAUGCAGAGUGCGAUUUUUAGGUGGCACACGGAGCGGUCGGUGGGUCCGGCAACCUAGAGCCUUUCUCUUAGCGGUGCUGACUCGAGCGUGUUUAUGAGCAGCUGAUAUCGAAAGUUUCUUGUGCCUUGCACAAGGUGCGAAUCCUAUUCGCCGACUUGCCGCCCCCCACAAGCAUCCAGCAUGCAAAGUGACCUGGUGCUUUCCUGUGCUGCUAAACGCUAAUCUGCACCCGUAAUUUCCUAGGCGUCGACCCGUUUGCUGUCAGCAUGGACGCCGUUAAGCACGCGUGCUGCCGGUGCUAAACCUGCCGUGUUACGUGAAGAAACGGGCCUGAUCUGACCUGACGUUACACAGAUAUUUCUCCUCUGCCCGAUCUGUCACGGCCGUGUUCUCACCUACCACAGCCGCUGGCCUUCAAUGCUCUUUUCCAAUAGGCAUUUUUUUUCCAAUGCGAAUCAACUUGUGGUUGAGUUGGUUAGGUGGACAGUGGUAUCCUCAGAGCAUGGUUAAUAGUACAGUCAGCUGAUGGUUAUAUGAUAUUGCCAUGUCAUCUAUAGCCAAUCUUAUAGUCUUCAAGUAUAAUAGUAAGAUACAAAGAUGUGCUACUUUAUUAAUACAUGGCCCACCUUUCACUCUCACAUAGUGCUUAGGAGCACGUGCUGCAGCUAGCUCUUAUUCUGUAGCCGGCUCAUCUUCUCUCUCCUCUUCUCUUCCCUUCACGUCAGCAAAAGAACAAUAUUUUAAUACUUAUAGCCUGCUUACAUAAGCUUAUUAUACUUGCUCUCAACUCACUAGGGUUCAAAUCCUGGUGCUUGCAUUAUUCCUGGAUUUAUUUCAGGAUUUCCGCCGAUAGGGAUGAGUGUAUGCGCGUGUAUAUGAGCGCUUGUGUCUGUACUGAUGCUAAAAAAACAGGCAUUUUCUUUUUAAGAGCCCAUGCGGUGCAAGGACGCGGAGGGGACACGUCACGCGCAAUCCGCCGACGACGCGCUCCCGACCCGGCGAUGUGUAUGACUUCCGGGGCCCGCAGGUGCGGCCGCUCCGCUCCCAACGGGCGGGCGAAGACGACCGGCGCUCUCGGUGGGGAUCUGGCCGUUUGAUCCGACGAUGAUUAUCCCUUCCUUCCGCCUCUCUCUCUCUCUCUCUCAAACGGAUUUCCUGCCAUGCACCGGGUCCUUGUACAAUCCAGCGGAACAAAAUCUCUCUUCGGUCCUCGGGUUAGUGGAGAAUUCACGUCUUUGCCCUCCGCGCACACAUCACUGCCCACCUGCCCCUUCUGCCCGCGCUGCCCGCUCCUCUAUCCCUUCUCUCUCCAGCAUCCUCUUUCUCUCCUCCCUCCCAUGGCCAUGGAGUCGGCCUAGCCAGUUGUGCCCGUUGAGAGCGCUCAUAUACCCUCAGAGACGGACCUCCAGAUCUGUGGUCUGUUGUAGUCUCUCUGCUUCCUCAAAACAAGGUAACCUCUCAUGUUUACAUCGCCUUUAUUAACGCAUCUCAACUGCUUUUUACACCUGCUUGUGGUAGUAUGCAUAAUCAUAUCUUUGUUGUUCAUCCUGGUAAUUUACCCUAGCCGCUCAAGGUUUGAGUUGGCACCUGUUCUAGGCUCUGCUCUGCUCUGACAGACCACGGCAAAUUGUGCUAUGAAUUCGUUUGCGUGCACCUGCAGAGUCUGAAACCUUCAGGAUUCAGCACAGAUUUUCUCACUCGCUGAGAGAAAUAAAUACUAGUGCUCUCGUUUUCUGUAUACUCGUUUUUCUCUCUUAUCUUUCCCUGGCACUUCUGUGAGCUUUCUGUUCAGAGAAAAGUUGUGUUUUCACGUCUCUUCUCUGACCUACCAGUAGCGGAGGAUAGGGUGGAGUUUUGCUAGAAUUAGGCGCAACAAAAUCUCUGGGAAGAAUCGCUUUUUUCUGCCGGCCCAAACCUUGUUGGGAAAGUAGAAUGUUGCGGGCGGAGGUUUUAAGGUUUCCUGCUGCUGCCUCUGCCUCUAACUAACGGUAAAAGUAAAGCCUUAUCUCUGACUGACGUGUGUUGAUUUCUCCUGCCUGCCCACGUGUUCAGCCCCUGCAGCCGCGCCCGGAUCGGAUGGACACCGCCAUGCACCCCGCCGGCGGCCUCGCCGACCUGCUUACCGACAACGCCGGCACCGGCACCGGCACCGAGGUAGUACAAAAAUCACAUCUCUCUCUGUCGUUUUACUACGUACUAUUUUCGUGUGUACUUUGAAGUUCUUUUUUCACCCUCGAGUAGCAUGCGUGUAUUUUUUUAUAUAUGAAAGAAAGAUGUGCGAAAGAAAAAAAAAUAUCACGGCCGUUCCAUCCAGCUUUUGUACCGUUGUGAGAGUGAGAUAUGGCUUGGACUUUUCCGGAUGCGGAACCGUGUGGUGCGCUCUAGGCUGCAGUUUUCGGUUGUGGCCUUCAGUUCCGUGUGGGUGGGCCCCUGCCUCAGCCCGCUCCUUGGUCCUUGCUUGCUUCUUUAUUACAGCUCCUUGCCACUCGGCCCCGAAUAUUCGCUCCCCACAGGCCACGCGAAUAUGCCUUCAGAGAUGCUCUCCCUCUCUGAAGAAAAAACUUCGUCAGUGUGUGGCUUGCUUAACCUGCAAGCAGCAGUGCUAGCAGGUGCUUAGGUCAAGUCAAGAGACGGUAUAGCAUAUUAUGCUAUGGUUAAUCACUUUCUUAAGCGUGAGACAGUAUAGCAUAUUAUGCUAUGGUUAAUCACUUUCUUAAGCGUGAGACAGGCUGUCUUUGACGCUAGAGCUGUCGCUCCUGCGGCCCCACCUGCCUGUGCCUGCUCGCCAUUGAGAGUGACACAAGGGACUUUUCUGUAAUUAUUUGGGGUGGGGGGUCCUCUGACUAGAGAUAUUUGUGAUAGGGUCACUUUCUCCUCUCACUGUCCAUGUUUGUCCACAAAGCCAAGGGGCUUCGCUGCAAGUGAGCACCACAUGAUUUUGUCACUUAAGUGCUCCCAACCACAGCAUGGUCCAGAGUAGCAUAAAAGUACAAGGUAUGCAACUGCGUGGACACAUGAUUGUUGUUAUGGAGGCUGUAAUAUUCCAUCUUUGUGGCACUCUGAAAUAGAUUCACAAGACAGAUAGGUUGAAGGUAAACUGGCUGAGCUAUGUAUAAAUAAUAAAACUGAGGUUGUUCAGCCUCUUUACAUGAGGGGUGAGAUCAGGCUUCACAAGCCUUAAGUUUCAGCUGGUCUGCUCCUUAACUGCUAAGCAGCCGGUUCUAGGAUAUCAAACGGGGUUGUUGUUUAUUGAGCCGUGCUCUUGUUGCUUACUAAUAUGAGAUGCUAAGUUUACCAUUAAGAAAAAGGAAUGAUCUGCUGCCAUGCCCCUCGUUAUUUACUAGCUUUUGGCCACUUUACUAAUCCUUUGUUCUUGUGUUGUGCUUGUGGGUUUUUAAGCUUUGUUUCAAGCUUUGGUCUGGAUGCUGUUUGUGCUUGUGGGUUUUUCAGUUUUGUUUCAAGCUUUGGUCCGGAUGCUGGUUUUUUGACUUAACUAUGUUUGCCUGAUCCUUGUACAGGGCAUUAUUUGUGGCAUGCCAGACUUCAAGAUGGGUGGAAAGAGGGGCGAUGAAUCUGCCCCUACUGAUGCUGGUGAUGAAGAUGGCGAAGAUGAUGACGGGGAUGAGGAUGGUGACUUCGCGGAGGGCGAAGAGGAAAUCUCGGAAGGAGAGGAGUAUGACAACCCCAAGGCCAGUGACGCCAAGAAGAAACAAAUAGGCGAGGGUGAGGAGAAUGGCGAGGAUGAUGAGGAAGAACAAGAGGAGCAGGACGGUGGAGGAGGUGACGACGAUGAUGAUGAUGACGACGAUGAUGACAAUGAGGACGACGACGAUGAUGACGACGAUGUCGCUGCUGAAGACGAUGAGGAUGGAGUAGAAGAGGAGGAUGACGACCAGGACAACGACGAUGAUGAGGAGGACGAUGACGAGGACUCGCUCCAGCCCCCGAAGAAGAAGAAGAAGUGAAGCCCUUCGACGCGGCUGCUUUAGUCACCAUGCAAUGAGAUGUGCCUGUUCUUCACUGUGUUCUGGAAACUUUCCUUAGAGUUAAAAAUGCCCCACACGAUCACAAUGUGUGGGCUUGUAGGAGCGAUUAGAGGGAACUUUGUUGUCACCGUUGCUUUGCUUCUGUGGAGUUGAUCGAACAGAUGUUUCGCUAACAUAAUUGUACCUGAGUGGCGAAAGCCUCAAGAUUUGAAUAUGUCAGUCAACUCUUUUUAUCUCCUUCCGGCAUCGUUCUGUGCAAUCUUGUUCAGAACACAUUGUGUUGGUAGCUCCUUAAAUAAGGCCAAAUCACAUUGUUGAUAGCUCCUGGAUUUAUCGUGGGUGCUGUCUGGUUUCUGCAUAAUUCUGCUGAUGAUGGUGACUAGAUGAUUACGCUAAUGUCUAGAUAUAUGGCUUGUUAGUGUAGUACCCCCUCUGUUUUAAAAUAAUUGUCUCAACUUUGUACUAACUUAUUUUAAUAUAAAAUUGUACUAAAGUUCUGACACUUAUUUUAAGACGGAAGGGGUAUUUUCUAUAUAAUUAAACAGAACACAUCUCUGUCCAAAAGAAAAUAAAAGAACAUCUCCCUUGGUCUUUGCACACUGUCCAAGCGGCAUGGCUCAGAUGUCACACCCAUAGGCGUGAUCUAGGAAGGUGCCAAAGUGCCACUUGAUGCCACCCUUCAGAGAAGUAAGAAGCGUUACAUCCCUGAUAGGAGGUUUCUUUUUCCCUUUGGCGGUUGCGAUUGAUAAGGCAAUCAUCCUCUCCAAGCUUCAUCAAGGAACCCAUGGAGCGGCCAAUGGCAGGAAAAGGAUCCCAGUGCCUCGGCUCUGACUAAUAGUUUAGGUUAGGUGACCGGUGGCGGGAGAGGAUCCCAGUGCUCCGUCUCCGGCUAGUAGUUUAGGUUAGGUUUUUUCUCGUAGGGGCGCUAUUUGGGUGGAUGGUGGCGUUUCAUCUUUGAGCUAGUCUUUUCGGCUCUGAUUCACCUCGAGUUUGUCCAUCGGGACGGAAUCAACGGAGCUAUGGCCUAGAUUUCCGUCGUUUCCUUGGGUCACCGGGAUUAGGGUUUCUCGCCGUUCGUGUGCGACGACGAGAUUUUGCGUCGGGCGCUUUAGAUUGAUUCAAGGGUUCAAUUUGAUGACUGCGGCUAUGAGGCGCAGGUCCUUAGGUACACGUGCACUAAGACUUUCCGGCUGUUAUCGACAAGAUUAAGCGACUCCUAUAGGGAAACAGUGAAACGGUGUGUAGCUUGCUCUAGGUGGUGCAAAGUCCUUGAUGUAAUCAUUGUUGCGUUUGGGAUGCUUUGUACAUCUUAUGAACCUUUAUAGUAUUAUUUGGGUCAUUUUUCGCCAAAAAAAAACACUAGAGAGUGGCUUAUAUUUAGAUAUAGAAAAUUAAUUCAAAUUACAAACAUUAAAGAUCAAUGAACUUGUAUGUUGAAUUCCAAUACUAUGAUGCAUUAUCGUGUAUCUAUCUGGUAUUGUUGACAAGCUUUAAACUUAUGUGUCUACAAGUCCAAAUAAAUGUAUGCGCUCUUAAAUUUGUAAGCGCUGCUACACGGACGAUAAAUUUACGGCCGACGCCUGCACGAUCCUACUUGGCAGAGUCAAGAGCUAGCAUGCAUGCAGGAAGCGAUGUUGAGGAGGACGCAUCGUUCGCGGAUCGUGCAGACAGUGUCGUGUGUAAAGCAAUUCCGUAAAUUUGUGGCUCAAUUUUUCUUGGUCACAAGAUAGCCAGUUGUCCAAGGUCUUUUCCCAUAUGAGUUUGAUUAACGUAUGCAAAUUUAUACUAAAAAUGAAAAUUUCCAUGCAUUGCAACGGGCAUAAAUAGGUUAACCCAUGAUUUAUCUGCCCAUAUUAAUUUGGUUAUGCAAAAGAAAUAUGAUUAUCACAGAAGACAAAAAUUUAUUUGGUAAAUAAGAGGUGGGGCAGUUAAGGCGUCUGUCAAGAAAACCCGAUGGAAAAUCAGAUAUGGGAGAGGAAAAAAUCAAAUAGGGAGAGAAGGAGGUGAGAAAGCAAACAUAGGUAAGAUUGAACAAAAUAGGAGGGAUUUUUAAAUAGUACGAUGCAUUUAGAAUUACAAAUGAGGCAAUUUGGUACUCUCAUAUAGUCAUACUCAAACUCACUUGUAUCUAAAGCAUGCCACGUGACAAACCCUAGCCACCAACAAUCUCCUCACCCAGUACGUUGGUUCUCCUCCCCGUCAGACUUCUUGUCACUGAGACCGGGGAUCUGGAUCCUGUGUAGAUUAAAACUUUCUAUGUUAAUUUUGUGCAUCCUUGGCGGUGAGGUAGCCAAGGUGGGGGCGACAUAGUGUGGAAUAAGUAAUUAUCGUUUGCAAACUCCAUCCUCAUCCUGGCAUGUCUAGCUUUCGCGGCCAACAUCGGUGAGCUAGUGGUAUUUUGGGAAAAAAAACAUUUCAUCAUAGUGUGAUCAUGGUCUUUUCUUUCAACAAUUUUGGCAAUGAAGUGUUGGUUUGAUAACCUGCCUUAUGAGGAUGUGUCUUUAGGUACGGUGCACUCAAUGGUUUAAGAUUUUCACCACUGACGGUGGACGGUUGAUGUGGCUAUUCAAAACUUUCGAAGUUGGUUAAUCUUGUGCAUGUAUGGUCUUAUGCGGUUUGUUUUCCAAGUGCGAAGAAGAACAUCAGGAUGUGAUUGGUGGAGCUAGAGAUGACUAAAUUAGAGUGUUCUAAUAUAAUUUUUAAGUCCAGUAAUGUUCUUUGCUAGUCAUGUUUGUUCAUUCCGUCUUUGAUCCGUUGUAAGUCUUCAUUUUGUUAAUAAACUAACAUCUUGGGUCUAAAAGAAACAUGUCACGUAGAGGGGAAAACACUUAAGAUGGAGAUAAAUACCAUCAUAUCUUAUCAAGAUAUUGCUCCUAUCAUGGAACCUGAAGUUGUAAAAUGCAAAAGGCAUUAGUCCACCAACUUGGGGGCUCAUGUUAAUAAGCCUUGCUCGGACUGACUGCAUCUACAUGGCGCGCCGUACUCGCAAAUCAAUGAAAGUGACAAUGGGCAGGGCGUCGUGUACUUGUUGCGAUUGUAUUUUAAGCGUUUUCCCAAAUCCUCAUUCUCGGUCUUUCCACUCGUCCGCCUCUCUUAUUUCUUUAAAAAAAUCACGUGUAAUUUUAUUCAAAGCCAACAACCAUUACUUGUACAAUGUUUUGGAUCAUAGACCCAAAAAUUGCAGAAUAACUCCUACACUAAAAUUACAAUAAAACAUCUUGAAGAUUUAGUCUCUGUAGCGACAAUCCUCACAAACAUGAACUACUACCAAGGCCUCCAUAAAUACAAGAUCAGCCUCUUUUGUCUGUGUAGCGACGACUAAGGUGCAUGACAAAGAACAACCUCACCUUAGGUAUCCACUCCCAUGACUUCUUCUCGCAGGAUCAGGGCCGGCAACAGAGCUACAAAUCCAUCAUGGUAGCCCGCCUCAGCCCUUAAUUCGACGGCGUUUUUUGAAAAGUGCCUCGAAAGCUUUUCGGCGAUUUGCAGAAGUGCCGCUAAACUCCAGCAACACUUGGGCUGAAAUGGACAGGCCCGUUAGCGCAGGCUCCUUCUCCCGUAGCUGUUAUCCUGAAGCAACCUGAUUGCCCUGUCGUAAGGCGAUAUAUGAAGGGGUUUUUCAGAGUCCUGAAGGAACUAACCAGUUCAUCAAGUCAUACAUAGUGGACCUGCAAACUAUCGCUGCUGUGGGCAGUGGUCAGGAACAACAUCAAGCGGCGAGACCUAGCCACUGGAUUGCACCACCGGACACGUAUGCGAAGAUCAAUGUGGAUGCGGCGACCGCAACCAACCGAGGAGUUGCUGCUGCUAUCUGUCGAGAUCAAGCUGGCAUUUUUCAAGGUGCUUCGGCUCUGGUUAUCAAGGGAACCAAUGAUCCACCAACGCUCGAAGCAUUAGCAGUCAGAGAGGCUUUGGCGCUUGCCGAUGAUCUUAAUAGCCGCAGAAUACAUGUCGCUUCUGACUGCAAAGAUGUACUGAACGACAUCAAGAACAAAACACCGGCUAUCUAUGGAGCUAUUCUGCAUGAAAUCAUAGAUCAUAGUUCCACUUUUAUUUCAUGUACCUUUGUGCAUGAGUUUAGGAGCUCGAAUUUCGAGGCUCACAAUCUUGCGAAGCAUAGUUUGAAUUUGGGGGUUGGCCGCCAUGUGUGGUUAGGCAAUCCUGGUAAUCUUUCUUUUGUACCUUUGAACAUUGGCACAAGUUAAAUAAAGCUUUGCGUGAUUGUCUCAAAAAAAAAAAAAAACCUGAUUGCCCUGUCUUUUUAAGGUGGUCAAGCUACUGUUCCCUAAGCAGUAUGGGACUAAAACUGCUUUGCCUGAGACGCAGCGACCGAACUGAUUGGUCAGCACCGCCGCCAAAAUACAACUACUCCAUCAUAUGAAUCUUCAGGAACCAUGCAUCAUUAGCUUCGCCUGUUCAGGUUGAGAUGACAAAUUCGUUUAAUUUUGUUUUCAGCAAGUGACGAGGCAGAUUUUUUGUAUUUCUCUCCCAACUCCGGCGACACGUGUACCGGCGACCAUAACUUCUAUAUUUCUUCCCUGCUCAGAGACAAUGAAUCAUCGAUUUUACACCGCUGGGCCUCGUCGGAUUGUUCGAACACAGCACAUCUUGUGUGUAACAGCUGAUCACCGACCAGUACACCAAGGUAGCUGUCUGUACUCCAAUGGGAAGGGACGUCUUUUAACAUAUAUAUACACAGGCAUGUCUCACGGUCCAAAACAACGUCACCGUCUUCUCCAGCGCCGGCGUUCGGCUGCCUCGACGUUGCGAUUAAACGGCGACACCCGCGAGCUGAGAGUCUCAUUCAUGCACAUAGCAGCAGCUCGGCCACCUGCGGUCACCACCUUCAUUCCGAGGCAAUUUUCUAAAACGCCUUCAUAGCUCAUCAAUCCGAGGCACUUUUCUAAAUCGCCUCCAUAGCUACAUCAAUCCGAGGCACUUUCUUAAAUCGCCUCCAUAGCUACAUCAAUCAGAGGCAGUUUCCUACAACGCCUCCAUAGCUGCAUCAAUCCGAGGCACUUUCCUAAAACGCCUCCAAAACUGAUCAAUCCGAGGCGUUUUCAAGGUGCCCUUAAAAAAAUGCCUUGAAUCAACGACCGUGGUGUAGUGUGUGUGUCGGUGCACAUGGAGUGGGACGGACAUUGGCCAGAUGUCCACAAAUGGUACACUACUUAUCAAGGCUUCUACGACAGAGAUGCGUUGGCAUCAUAGUGUCUAAGGGUCCGCGAGGGUAGUGGUGAUUCGUGAGUAAUAACAUUGUUUUCCCGUCCAGUUACGUGUUUCAAGAUCGUCCUUGGUCGGGAUAACUCCUCUUCAAAGAUACCAUAGAAAAAUCAUUAUUUUUUAGAGGAACUUGUAUUUUUCCAAAUUGAUCCCUUAUUGCCAACUGGCGAGUUGAAAGAUACAAGCACACGAUACAUUGGGACAACUGAGAGCGGAACUCAUUGCACCCUUGCAAUAUGGACAAAUGCCUCGGAGCGCACUUUCAGCGCACGGCGUCAACGGUGCACUUUAUCUGCCGCGUUCGUGGCGUGCAUCGAGAUGUAACUAAGGUCUGCCAGCCUGUUAUAUAGCUACUGCAACUGACAAUAUACUAUUCGUCCUACAGAGCAUAAUACCCGUGCCUUGGUCCAGUAUAACAUGCGCAGCUAUAUGUGUGCCACCGUGCAUUCUUAACCUAUCCUAGGUUUGGAACUAGUUCGAGCUGAGAGUGGUAUCUGUUCUUCGCACACAUUGUGCCGGAGCUUAAAUGCUGAUAUCGCACUGGAGACUGGAGUCUGAUAGACCCCACUAGUUUCGGGUGAGCAGUGGCACCGGUUCUCUAUAUCUUUCGUGUGUGGGGUGGUGGUCAUCGUCACAACACAAAAAACACGCGAGGAGCGCCGAUCUGCCAUUCGACAAACUUCAGAUGUUAAUGGAGUUUGUCGCCAUGGAAGGAAAUCUAAGGUACAUAUUGAAAUUUGCAGUUGCUUAGUUUAUAGUCCCAAACGUACUAUCGAUUGUCAAUCAUAUGGCUUUUGUAGAUCUCCUUCAAGCUUGAUCCCGCACGGAUUCACAUCGUGCGAUCGUGAUCUGGAUGUGCUCGCCACCCCAACAAAGUGCGCGUCCGGAUCAUCACGAGCAUGCUCGAUCAGUUGCUGAAGUUGUUCUAGUCCGUCAAGAAAUUUGCUGAUUGAUGGUGGAGAGGGUGAACUAGAUGCCAUGCGGGUAGCAAUAUCCAGGCUGCAGCGGCAACGUAAGAUGAUGCUGUUCGCACUGCUAGCGUGCAUAGUGAUCGGCGCUAGCGUCCUCAUCCAUUUUGGAGACUGAAAGCUGAUCUGGUGAAUUUGUUAGAAUAUGUCUAGCCUGAAUGCAAUCGAACACGGUUGUUAUCAUGGGACUUGCUUGCUCUAGUGUAUGCUUGGAUUAUAUUUCUCAAGCAUUGUAUCCGUUUGAACAAAGCGUACCAAUAUGUAUGUGUAUGGCCCGUGGGGCUUGCUGGCUGUAAUGUCUGGUUUAGUUAUAUUUUUUAAGCAUUGUAUGCGUUUGAACAAAAAUCGUAUAUUGCACCGAGUUCACAGCUAGAAGAAAAUGCAAGAAAUCUUGAAUGUUGUCAGGGACGGGCGUGACCGAAAAUAAUUCUGAAAAAUAUAUCAAAGCCGACUAGGGUACAUUCCUCUCCUGAAUACUGACAUGCUGAACUCCGAAAAGAUGACCACAGAGUGUUUAUAGAUGAUCUGAUAUGCUGCACUGCUGUGUUAUGUGCAUCGGAUCGGUUCCGUUCAAGCUUCAGAAUUUCGUGCAGGGUGGCGAUGCGUGCCAAUGCUAUGUGUUUCCUGUUGGAAUGUACAAUGAACGGCCGGAUCUUCUUGUGGCAAUGGAUCCGCGGCCGCCUACCGUCCGGCGUGGAGGUCCUCAAGCGCCAUGGGCCUGGGGAUGGGAUGUGCCCCCUAUGUGACACGGCGGAGGAUGCCAAUCACAUCUUCUUCUCCUGUUGCACGGCACAGUUCCUAUGGGCGUGUUUUCGCGAAACGGUUGGGGGACAGUGGUGUAAUAACAACUUCCCCGACUUGCUUGCGGAAAUCCAGGCCUCCCCUCCUCGCUACAGACAUAUUAGAUGGCUGUGCGUUGGGGUGCUGGCUUGGACGUUGUGGACGGUUCGCAAUAAGCUUGUCAUUCAGAAGGUGCCUCUUCGACGUGCGACUGACUCCAUCUUCAAAAUGUGUGGUUACUUGCAGCUCUGGCGGCCGCUUAGCCGCCCUCCGGACCGGGAUGCCAUCGACAGACUCCUCUCCGACCUUCGUUCGUUGGCCUUCCGCCUGGCUCCGCCGCUCCCGCCGCCUCCCCCGGAGCCCGACUAGAGGCGUCUCUCUCCCGGCGUGUGUGCCGCUUUUUGUGUGUGUGUUGGGCUUGUUGAGCUGUGCCCUCAGCACUAACCCUUGAUGCUUGUUUGUUCCUGGACUGUGUGUGUGUGUGAACCUUGGUGGUGUGAACCUUGUGGAUGUUGGCUUUGGCAUUGGUUUUAUCUAUAAAGCGGGGCGUGAGCCUUUUUCGGUAAUGUACAAUGAACGUGAAUACUCUGUGGUAUGGACUUGUUCCAGUACAAAAUUCAUCUACAUACCUUUGUGGUCGGGCUCUGAAGAUUGUCGCCGUCGGUAUUUCCUCGUGAUGUAAAUCGAACAAAUGCCUGACUGCUCACUGCAGAGCGAGCAAGCUAACGUAAGUAUAUUCCUUCUUGUUUUAUGAAGCUUGGCUAAAUCAUAAGAUCAAAAUGGGGGUCUUGAUAUUACCUUGAGAACUUUUCAGUCAUUACCGUGGGGUAUGCUCUAGUCCAUCCAAUAGAAUUGCAAGGCAAGCUAGAGUACAUUGAUUCCGCACAUUUGAAAAAUGCCCUGGGGGAAUAAUCCUACUACCUUGAAGCAUUCGCAAUUGACUCUGCUUGAAUUCUCGUCUAAUGGCUUCGAUACUAUGAAUUCAGCGGCCUGUGUUAAUUAAUCUGAGGUGAGGUUAAUUAAUCUAAUGGCUUCGAUACUACGAAUUCAGCGGCCUGUGUUAAUUCAGCGGCCUGUGUUAAUUGUACAUCCUUCAAUUCUCGUCUAAUUGACCCAUAGCUUACAAAAAAAAUCGGUGCCGUAUCAUGAGCUGUGUUAAUUAAAAAAAUAGUGUUACGGGUGGGUCUAUUAAUACAUUCACCAUCAUUAAUGGUGGUCGACGACGAGGGCCUGUGUUUUUUAGAUUUUGAGAAACAAAAGGACGCAUCCCCUGUUCUGCCAAAACAAAUGAAUGCAAUGCUAGAGUGGCAAAGAAAUUUUUUAAAUAAAUGCUCGGUAAGGGCACGCUUCAUGGUACAAAUGUUACCUGAGGUGAGGUGGCACUUGUUGCAACCAGUUCCAAAAUGCUCCCCCUUAAGGUGCGAGCUAUGCACUCUACAACAUGGACGACCGCGGGGGUCCAGGACCAAAAUCAGGGCAAUACGGUGGAAACCGCGUGAGAUACUGCAACGUGGAAUGAACUGCAAUGUUCUUAUACACAGGCGCAGUUAAUGCUUGCCGUGCACUGAAGUCACUUUUCGCUCUGGUCCAUCUCUUUAACGCCUGCUCUCCCUUCCCAUUUUUUUCUCCUCUAGCCCUUAUUUGCUUCAGGAGAGCAACACUUAGUCAAAUGGGGAAGCUAUAGUGGGACCACCUGUGGACACCGGCACCGCCGCACAACUCGUCGUCGCCCAACUGCGGGACCACAUUGUCAUCCAUGGCACCUCCCCGCGGCCUUGCCUCCCUCCCUCACCGUCUCCAGCGAGAUUUUAACAUACUUUGUUCACCUUUUCGUCUUACCCAUCGCUUCUCCUCGACUUCCAGCAAAGCCGCACCACGCAUGGAGGGAAACCUACAUAAGGAAAUAUAGUGAAACCUGACUGCCCACCGCCAUCGCCAAUUCUGAAGAAUCAUUGCAUAUCGGACCACGUCAUCAUGCCACUAGGAGAAGGAUGAAGAGAAGAAGCGCCCAAGUCGUGGCCCUGUGGAGGACGAAUUUUGUCUACUUUGUCGAAUGAUCCAUCGUUGCACGUUCACGUCGCGCGCGAUGAGCCUCUACCAUAAGCUCAUGGCCAUCACCUAGAGGCGGAAAAGUCAUCGUUGACCUUGUAGAAGGAAGAAGGAAGAAGGAAGAAUAAAUUACAAAAGAAGCUUUCAUGUGGGGUCAGGUUUAUUUUGGGAUUAAGUUUGGAGGUUGGCCUAGACGACAAAAGUGUAACCCUCAAUAUAAGAAAUUGAAGGAUGGGGGAUGAGAUGGGGGCAUUAAAAAAAUAGGUAAAUACAUCCGUGGUGCUUCAACUUGCCACGAAUGUUCAGUUUAGUGUCUGAACUUGAAAAAUACAUCGAAAUGGUUGUAAAACUUGGCACGAACGUGCAAAUACGGUGCUAAUCACAUCCGUCGACGUAAUGUGCGUCNNNNNNNNNNNNNNNNNNNNNNNNNNNNNNNNNNNNNNNNNNNNNNNNNNNNNNNNNNNNNNNNNNNNNNNNNNNNNNNNNNNNNNNNNNNNNNNNNNNNNNNNNNNNNNNNNNNNNNNNNNNNNNNNNNNNNNNNNNNNNNNNNNNNNNNNNNNNNNNNNNNNNNNNNNNNNNNNNNNNNNNNNNNNNNNNNNNNNNNNNNNNNNNNNNNNNNNNNNNNNNNNNNNNNNNNNNNNNNNNNNNNNNNNNNNNNNACGAUCGACAAUUUUAGUAGCAGCGAUGAGUAAUUAACAACGAGAUUAGAUCAAUAUAUGUACUCGGCCCCCCUAUACUCGAAUCCUGGCUCCGCCACUGACCGUAUAUGACUGAUGUGGCACAGACAUGAUGUGGGGCCCACUUAUAAUUAUGAAACAUAAUUACUGGAAUGGUAAACGUCUCUAUGAUUAGUGGGCCCUCCUGUCAGUACCUUAGCAAAAAUAAAAUAAAAAUUGCAAAAACUGGGAUCGAACCAGCAGCCUGAUGGCACAUUGCCUGCGCUAGCCACCAAAUAGAACAAGUUUUCACAUUAAACUAGGCCCCUUAAGCAUAAUAUACUUAACCACAAACUCCUGUGUCCUGAAACGGGAUGCAGCCAGCGGCCCAUAUUGCACACGUUAUUUUUUUACAGUAAAUAAUACGUAAAUAAUAAUCAUAAUAAUAAAAAUACGAUUCAAAUAUUCAUGUGUUAUAAGAAAGUACUCAUGCCACACAAUUAUCCAUGUGCACACAAAGUAAAUAUAUAGAGGUAUACCCNNNNNNNNNNNNNNNNNNNNNNNNNNNNNNNNNNNNNNNNNNNNNNNNNNNNNNNNNNNNNNNNNNNNNNNNNNNNNNNNNNNNNNNNNNNNNNNNNNNNNNNNNNNNNNNNNNNNNNNNNNNNNNNNNNNNNNNNNNNNNNNNNNNNNNNNNNNNNNNNNNNNNNNNNNNNNNNNNNNNNNNNNNNNNNNNNNNNNNNNNNNNNNNNNNNNNNNNNNNNNNNNNNNNNNNNNNNNNNNNNNNNNNNNNNNNNNNNNNNNNNNNNNNNNNNNNNNNNNNNNNNNNNNNNNNNNNNNNNNNNNNNNNNNNNNNNNNNNNNNNNNNNNNNNNNNNNNNNNNNNNNNNNNNNNNNNNNNNNNNNNNNNNNNNNNNNNNNNNNNNNNNNNGCAAUGUAUAGAAAUAUUAACUUAUUAUUUAGAAAAUACUAUUUUUAGAACAAAAUUAUUAUUUAUAAAAUAUAUUUUAAAUUUUAUUAUUUAGAAAAAUAAUUAAACACUCAUGGAUUAUAUUAAAAAAGUAUUUUCAAAUAACAAAUUAAUAUUUCUAAAAAUUACAGAAACAUUUUUAAGUAAGAUAUUUUAUUACAAACCUCUAUAUAUUUAUUUUGUGUGCACACGGAUUAUAUAACACAUGAAUAUUCAAAUCUAGCUUUUAUUAUUAUGAUUAUUAUUGACAUACUUCUUACAUUACAAAAUAAUGUGCACAAAAUGGGCACAGGCUGCAACCCAUUUAUGUAUGCAGGAGUUUUCGGUUCACAUACAUUAAGCAUGAGGGGGUUACAUUCUCUUGAAAACAUGUUUAGUGGAAUGGUGAGCGCAGGUAUUUCCCAAUCGUUAGGUCGCAGGUUCAAUGCCCAUCUUAUAUAUUUUUAUAUUAAUUUUCUUACUAAUUACUUACCGACAGAUGGCCCCAUUAGUCAUAGGGUUAUAUAUAGUACUCAAGUAAUUCAGUUUUGUAACUAUAAAUGGGCCUUACAUCAUGUCAGCCAUACCGUUUUGGACGGUGGUGUUCCUGCAUGGCUUCCCGGAGAUAUGGUACUCGUGGCGCCACCAGAUGCAGGCCGUGGCCGCCGCAGGGUACCGCGCCAUCGCGCCGGACUGCCGCGGGUACGGCCUGUCGGACCAGCCGCCGGAGCACGAGGAGCCCUUCUGGGAGGACCUCGUCGCCGACGUGCUCGCCAUCCUCGAUGCCCUCUCCAUCCCCAAGGUAAGCAGCACCACCGAAGAAAACCAUGGCCCCAAGUCCCAACUCCCAAGCGUCCAUGAGUGACCGACGUCUCGUUUCCUUUCCUCGUGCGUGCGUCCGUGAGUGCAGGUGUUCCUGGUGGGCAAGGACUUCGGUGCCAUGCCGGCGUACGACUUCGCGCUGCGGCACCCGGGACGCACCCGGGGCGUGGCGUGCCUGGGCAUCGCCUUUAGCCCUGUGCCCUUCGACUUCGAUGGCAUCAUGCCGGAGGGCUUCUACCCGCUGCGGUUGUCGGCGUUCUGGAAACGGGGUCCCCAGACUUGCCUGCUUAUGGCCUGCGGCGUGGCUUAAAGGGGGCUCAACACGGCCCAUCUUCAUCACUACAAACUCAAGACCCUCGCGAGGGGCCAAGCCUCGCGGGACGGACGACGCGAAGCUUUCUCUGACAUGGCCUCAUCAGGCUGGCUCGCAAGGAGAUGGAGAGAUCAAGGCGGGGUACCUCACGAGGUGCCCGUGACGCAAGCCAUGAUGACCAAGAGCGCCAGGCGGGUGCCAGCCCGCGCAGUGUUCUCCUUUCCCCUUUGAUGCAAAGGGGGCAAGCGCAGCCGUGGAGUACCGAGGCAUCAGGCAAAGGUUGCCAUUUCGGUGCAACAAGACCAAGACCAGGUCAUUGUGGAGCCCAAGACGGCGUCACCACCAGAGUUUUGUGCAGGCGAAGACUAUUUUGUUAGGAUAACUGGUACUAGCUGUCCCCUUUCAAAUUAGCCCAUCAUUGUUGGCUCCCUUCCCGCUCGAUAUUUGGGAAGAGGAUCAGGGCCUCUAUAAAUAGGACCAGCCACCCGCAGGAUGGAAAGAGGGGGGAGAGAGGCAUCAUCAGUUGUGAAGAGAGAGAGAAGGGUGACUGGACUCCUCCCAGCAGUUCAUUGCCCCAGCCAAGAACAGACCCUCACAAGGUUGUUCUUCCUUGUAUUGUUCGUCACCAUCAGCCCAAGAGGCAAUCCACCACACCACACACUGGAGUAGGGUAUUACACCACAAUGAUGGCCCGAACCAGUAUAAACUCUGUGUCUCUUGUGUUGUUCUUUUCAUAGCUUAGAUCUUAGCGUGGCGGAGGGGUGCAGGUAGGUAGGAGGCGAAAUCUCCACGCGCACCUCAGUGUUCGAACCUCAAGGGUCUGCUGGAACCCGAAAUCUGACAUUUGGCGCGCCAGGUAGGGGUGCGCCGGAAUCCACCUUCUCCCGCUUCGUGCCCCGUCGCGUCGUCAUCACCAUGUCCGGCGACCAGGCGGGCAACCCAGAUCCAUGGGCGGCGUGGCCCGCCCGCGCAGAGCCGCUCGCCUCGGGCGACCCCGUGCCCCAGGCAGCUCGCGGUCCGCAGGGCGCUGCGGGCCGCGGGCGACGCGGACAGGCUUCGACAGCUCUCACACCGCGGCAGGCGCGGUCGGCAGCAAGGGCCUCCAAUCACGUCGCGACCACGACACCGUACACCCGCCGGGAGCAGGCGAACUCGAGGGCCGCGCUCACGGUGGCCCGAGAGCUGCUGCAGUGCAGGCUGCUGGAGGGCGGCCGCGACGUGCUGCUGGAGCGGGUGGCAGAGCUCCUGGGCUUCGCCGCCUCGGGGGCUCACCCCUUCUGCACCCAGCUCCCAUCUCAAGCCCAGGGCGGCCCGCGCGGGGGCUCCGCGCGCGCCCGCGGGCCCCAAGGCUACUCCAACGCCAGCGAAGCUGUCAGGACCGGACCGGCGGCGGCGCCGCCCCCGCUCCCGGUCCGCGAAGAAGAAGGACUCGACGCGACCCACGGCCCCAGUGGACAGCCGCGCUGCCACCCCACGGUGGACGUGUCAGGCAGGACCGUGUGGCACGCGGGGCACUACGGCGUGGCCUUCGGGUUGACGGCGCUAGAGGAAUACGUGUCCCUCAUGAUGGACCAAGAACACCCUCACGAGAGCGAACAAGGCUCGCUCCACAGCCCAGGCUGGGGGACGAGGCGUCAGAAGCUGAGCCUUUCCAGGAGCCCUGGGGCGGUCCCACUGGCCGUGCUGGAGGCAACGAUUAUCGGGUACCGCUAAUUCUUCAGGAGCAGGCAUACGCAUCCACAUUGUCUUCCACCCAGUGCGCCAGGUCGUCUCGGACGGCCUAGGGGACUGGGGCGAUGGCGGCGUCGAAAUCGAAGUGGGGAUCCAUGUUCCGGAGAUGGCUGAAGACGCGAGAAAAGGCGCGCCCGAGCAGGGCGCGGCUCCUCUCCUCCACCAACCUGUCAGCCCUGACCGACCGCGCCUCCAGCUGCGUCACCACGUCAGUGAAGAACUGAAAAUUGCCGGCGUAGUUGACUGCGUGCGGCUCGCCAACAGCCACCUCGCAGAUGUUGCCCAAGGCUGUGUUGGCUCUCUCUCGGAGCGUGGUGAGCAUGGGGCCGUGCUCAUGCUCCAGGAUCCGCCGCUGACGUAUCUCGUCCGCAUUCUGGCGCGCGACGGCCUCAGCCUCCUCCACCCGCUGGCAAAAAAGGAGCACCUCGGCCUGGGAGGUGGUUAACUCACCUUGCGCCACCUCAAGGGCGGCCCGGAAAGCAUCGCCCGCCGCGUCGCCUCCUCCAGCUUGGCCCUCAAGGUGGCAGUCCUGCCUUCAGCUUCGGCCCGGAUCAACCCCAGCUUCUCUUCGAACUCAUGCUCGAGGUUCAAAUGCGCCAUCGCCACCCGACGUCCGACCUCCUUCAGGACACGGGCUUCCUGUGCAGCGACAUCAUCCUCCGCCUGCGUCACCAAGCGCUCCCUCGUCUCCAGACGCUCGUACUCGCGGGUACGUUCGGCGGCUUCCAGCGUCAGCGCCUUCUCACGCUUCUGGAGCUCUGCUGAGUCGCCAGAGGCCACCUUCAUCGACGCAAGGGCUGCCUCACGCAGCUCCACCUGCUCCUCCAAUGAGUGGCACCAGGCCAGGAGCUCCAGAGCCCGCUCCUCCGUCGCCUUUCGCCGCCCGUCGGCCUCCCGGGCCUCCUCAGCGGCCCAAGAUCGGGCCUCCCGAGAGGCCACCAGUGACACCUUGGCCUCUGCGUCGUCAAGAUCGCGCUGACGGCGCGCAAGGGCGAUGGCGCCCUCCAGCUCGCGCCUCUCCGCAGCCAGGCGCAGGCCCUCGGCCUCAAGGCGUGCGUAUUCAUCAGUAAGCUCCUCACCAAGCAGGCUCACCGCGUCAGCCGCCCUUCGAAGGAAUCCUUGGCGGAGAGCGCUGAAAGGACAUGCGGUGCCCCCAUGUGUGGUUUUGGUAAUUGAUGACAAUCUCUAUGGACUAACGGAUGCCUUGAGUUAUAUUUGAAGGAUUUGUCCAUGUGUUGUCUUGAAGUCCAUGUGUUGGUUUCAAGGAGUUUAUGAGAUGGCCAAAGUGCUUUUCACGGAAUUAUCCAAAGAUUGGUCAUGUGUGAGUUGAGAUGGCCAAAGUGCUUUUCAAGGAAUUAUCCAAAGAUUGGUCAUGUGUGAGUUGAGCUUAUUGCAAGCAUGUCUUGAAGAAGAAGAUUGUGUGAUCAUUCAUGGUUACCUUCAAGAAUCAUCCAAAUGAGAGUUGGAAAGAUUCAAUGUUGAUCAAGACUAAGUCAAGAGUGAAUCAAGUUGAUCAACUCACAAAGCAUAGAAGAAGUACCGAGAGGGAUCAAGUGAUCCCAUGGUACGGUAAGCAUUGUCCAUUACGCUUUGUGUACUAACCCAUGGUCUACGUGAGAGUUCUUUGUGGGGUUAGGUGUAUUUCCAUGGUCUUGCGUCAAGAGGAAGAUCUCAUACAACCCAUGGAGGAUGACAUCAAGUGGUGAUCGUCAUCAAGUUUGCAGUGUGCAAGUUCAAGUGGAGCAACUCGAAGAGUGGCUCACCCAUAAUGGAUUAUGUUGGGGAACGUAGCAGAAAUUCAAAAAUUUCCUACGUGCCACCAAGAUCUAUCUAUGGAGAGACCAGCAACGAGUAGAAAGAGAGUGCAUCUACAUACCCUUGUAGAUCGCUAAGCGGAAGCGUUCAAGUGAACGGGGUUGAUGGAGUCGUACUCGUCGUGAUUCAAAUCACCGAUGAUCCUAGUGUCGAACGGACGGCACCUCCGCGUUCAACACACGUACAGCCCGGUGACGUCUCCCACGCCUUGAUCCAGCAAGGAGAGAGGGAGAGGUUGAGGAAGACUCCAUCCAACAGCAGCACAACGGCGUGGUGGUGGUGGAGGAGCGUGGCAAUCCAGCAGGGCUUCGCCAAGCACCAUGGGAGAGGAGGAGUAGGGAGAGAGGUAGGGCUGUGCCAGAACUUCGUGUAUAGCUCCCAUGCGCCUCCCCACUAUAUAUAGGGGUGGAGGGGCUGGUUUCUUGCCCUCCAAGUCCAUUGGGGCGUUGGCCAAGGUGGGAGGAAAGAAAUCUCAUUAUUUCCUUCCCCACCGAUUGUUAUCCCCCCUUUUUAGGGAUCUUGAUCUUAUCCCUUCGGGAUAUGAUCUUAUUCCUUCUAAGGGGGGAUCUUGGUGCGCCUUGACCAGGGGUGUGCGGCCUUGCCCCCACUACCCACGUCCAUGUGGGUCCCCCCAUGCAGGUGGGCCCCACUCCGGAACCUUCUAGAACCUUCCCGGUACAAUACCGAAAAAUCCUGAACAUUUUCCGGUGGCCAAAAUAAGACUUCCCAUAUAUAAAUCUUUACCUCCGGACCAUUCCGGAACUCCUCGUGACGUCCGGGAUCUCAUCCGGGACUCCGAACAACAUUCGGUAACCACAUACAAACUUCCUUUAUAACCCUAGCGUCAUCGAACCUUAAGUGUGUAGACCCUACGGGUUCGGGAGACAUGUAGACAUGACCGAGACGUUCUCCGGUCAAUAACCAACAGCGGGAUCUGGAUACCCAUGAUGGCUCCCACAUGUUCCACGAUGAUCUCAUCGGAUGAACCACGAUGUCAAGGACUUAAUCAAUCCCGUAUUCAAUUCCCUUUGUCUAUCGGUAUGUUACUUGCCCGAGAUUCGAUCGUCGGUAUCCAAUACCUUGUUCAAUCUCGUUACCGGCAAGUCACUUUACUCGUUCCGUAACACAUCAUCCCGUGAUCAACUCCUUGGUCACAUUGCGCAUAUGAUGAUGUCCUACCGAGUGGGCCCAGAGAUACCUCUCCGUUUACAGGGAGUGACAAAUCCCAGUCUCGAUCCGCAUAAAACAAUAGAUACUUUCGGAGAUACCUGUAGUGCACCUUUAUAGUCACCCAGUUACGUUGUGACGUUUGAUACACCCAAAGCACUCCUACGGUAUCCAGGAGUUACACGCUCUCAUGGUCGAAGGAAGAGAUACUUGACAUUGGCAAAGCUCUAGCAAAUGAACUACACGAUCUUUUGUGCUAGUCUUAGGAUUGGGUCUUGUCCAUCACAUCAUUCUCCUAAUGAUGUGAUCCCGUUAUCAACGACAUCCAAUGUCCAUAGCCAGGAAACCAUGACUAUCUGUUGAUCACAACGAGCUAGUCAACUAGAGGCUCACUAGGGACAUAUUGUGGUCUAUGUAUUCACACGUGUAUUACGAUUUCCGGAUAAUACAGUUAUAGCAUGAAUAAAAGACAAUUAUCAUGAACAAGGAAAUAUAAUAAUAAUACUUUUAUUAUUGCCUCUAGGGCAUAUUUCCAACAUUCUCCCACUUGCACUAGAGUCAGUAAUCCAGUUCACAUCGCCAUGUGAUUAACACUCACAGGUCACAUCGCCAUGUGACUAAUACCCAAGGGUUUACUAGAGUCAGUAGUCUAGUUCACAUCACUAUGUGAUUAACACUCAAUGAGUUUUAUGUUUGAUCAUGUUGCUUGUGAGAGAGGUUUUAGUCAACGGGUCUGAACCUUUCAGAUCCGUGUGUGCUUUACAAAUCUCUAUGUCAUCUCCUAGAUGCAGCUACCACGCUCUAUUUGGAGCUAUUCCAAAUAACUGUUCUACUUUGAGCUAUUCUAAAUUAUUGCUCCAUUAUAUGUAUCCGGUCUCUCUACUCAGAGCUAUCCGGAUAGGUGUUAAGCUUUACGACGAACUCUUUUACCACCUCCAUAAUCGAGAAAAUUCCUUAGUCCACUAGUUACUAAGGAUAACUUUGACCGCUGUCCUGUGAGCCAUUCUUGGAUCACUCUUGUACCCCUUGACUGACUCAUGGCAAGGCACACUUCAGGUGCGGUACACAGCAUAGCAUACUGAAGAGCCUACGUCUUAAGCAUAGGGGACGACCUUCGUCCUUUCUCUCUAUUCUGCCGUGGUCGAGCUUUAAGUCUUAACUUCGUACCUUACAACUCAGGCAAGAACUCCUUCUUUGACUGGUCCAUCUUGAACACGUUCAAGAUCAUGUCAAGGUAUGUGCUCAUUUGAAAGUAUUAUUAAGCAUUUUGAUCUAUCCUUAUAGAUCUUGAUGCUCAAUGUUCAAGUAGCUUAAUCCAGGCUUUCUAUUGAAAAACACUUUCAAAAUAACCCUAUAUGCUUUCCAGAAAUUCUACAUCAUUUCUGAUCAACAUGUAUUCAUCCGAAAUUCUAUAGUGCUCCCACUCACUUCUUUGGAAAUACAAGUUUCUCAUAAACUUUGUAUAAACCCAAAAUCUUUGAUCAUCAUCAAAGCAUACAUUCCAACUCCGAGAUGCUCACUCCAGUCCUUAGAAGGAUCGCUGGAGCUAGCAUACCUUUUAGCAUCCUUAGGAUCGACAAAAACUUUCUGAUUGUAUUACAUACAACCUUUCCUCACAAAAACUGGUAAGGAAACUCGUUUUGAUAUCCAUCUGCCAGAUUUCAUAAAUACAACUAAUGUAACAUGAAUCCGACGGACUUUAAGCAUCGCUACGGAUGAGAAAAUCUCAUCGUAGUCAACUCCUUGAACUUGUGAAAAACUUUUCGCCACAAGUCGAGCUUCAUGGACGGUGACAUUACCAUCCACGUCUGUCUUCUUCUUAAAGAUCCAUUUAUCUUAAUGGCUUGCCGAUCAUCGGGCAAGUCCACCAAAGUCCAUGGAUCCGUUCUCGGAUUUUAUGGCCUCGAGCCAUUUAUCGGAAUCCGGGCCCACCAUCGCUUCUCCAUAGCUCGUAGGUUCAUUGUUGUCCAACAACAUGACUUCCAAGAUAGGAUUACGUACCACUCUGAAGUAGUACGCAUCCUUGUCAUCCCACGAGGUUUGAUAGUGACUUGAUCCGAAGUUUCAUGAUCAAUAUCAUAAGCUUCCACUUCAAUUGGUGUAGGUGCCACAGGAACAACUUCCUGUCCCCUGCCACACACUAGUUGAAGAGACGGUUCAAUAACCUCAUCAAGUCUCCACCAUCCUCCCACUCAACUCUUUCGAGAGAAACCUUUCCUCGAGAAAGGACCCGAUUCUAGAAACAAUUCAUAUUGCUUUCGGAUCUGAAUUAGGAGGUAUACCCAACUGUUUUGGGUGUCCUAUGAAGAUGUAUUUUAUCCGCUUUGGGUUCGAGCUUAAUCCUGAAACUUUUUCACAUAAGCAUCGCAGCCCCAAACCUUUAAGAAAAGACAACUUAGGUUUCUCUAAACCAUAAUUCAUACGGUGUCAUCUCAUCGGAAUUAUGUGGUGCCCUAUUUAAAGUGAAUGUGGUUGUCUCUAAUGCCUAACCCAUGAACGAUAGUGGUAAUUCGAUAAGAGACAUCAUGGUACGCACCAUAUCCAAUAGGGUGCAACUAUGAUGUUCGGACACACCAUCACACUAUGGUGUUCCAGGCGGUAUUAAUUGCGAAACAAUUUCCACAAUGUCUUAAUUGUGUGCCAAAACUGGUAACUCAGAUAUUCAUCUCUAUGAUCAUAUCAUAGACAUUUUAUCCUCUUGUCACAAUGAUCUUCUACUUCACUCUGAAACUAUUUGAACCAUUCAAUAAUUCAGACUUGUGUUUCAUCAAGUAAAUAUUCUAAACAUCUACUCAAAUCAUCUGUGAAGUAAGAACAUAACGAUAUUCACUGCAUGCCUCAGCACUCAUUGGACUGCACACAUCAAAAUGUGUUACUUCCAACAAGUUGCUAUCUUGUUCCAUCUUACUGAAAACGAGGCUUUUCAGUCAUCUUGCCCAUGUGGUAUGAUUUGCAUAUUUCAAGUGAUUUAAAAUCAAGUGAGUCCAAAUGAUCCAUCUGCAUGGAGUUUCUUCAUGCGUAUACACCAAUAGACAUGGUUCGCAUGUCUCAAACUUUUCUAAAACGAGUGAGUCCAAAGAUCCAUCAACAUGGAGCUUCUUCAUGCGUUUUAUACCAUUAUGACUUACAUGGCAGCGCCACAAGUAAGUGGUACUAUCAUUACUAUCUUAUAUCUUUUGGCAUGAAAAUGUGUAUCACUACGAUCGAGAUUCAAUAAACCAUUCCUUUAGGUGCAAGACCAUUGAAGGUUUUAUUCAAAUAAAUAGAGUAACCAUUAUUCUCCUUAAAUGAAUAACCGUAUUGCGAUAGACAUAAUCCAAUCAUGUCUAUGCUCAACGCAAACACCAAUCUCGAUGGUAGAGGGAGCGUGUGAUGCUUGAUCAUAUCAACAUUGGAAACACUUCCAACACAUAUCGUCAGCUCACCUUUAGCUAGUCUCCUUAUAUUUCGUAGCUUUUAUUUCGAGUUACUAACACUUAGCAAUCGAACCGGUAUCUAAUACCCUUGUGCUACUAGGAGUACUAGUAAAGUACACAUUAACAUAAUGUAUAUCCAAUAUACUUCUAUCGACCUUGCCAGCCUUCUCAUCUACCAAGUAUCUAGGGUAAUGCUGUUCCAGUGGUUGUUCCCCUUAUUACAGAAGCACUUAGUCUCGGGUUUGGGUUCAACCUUUGGUUUCUUCACUAGAGCAGCAGCUGAAUUGCCGUUUCAUGAAGUAUCCCUUUGUUCCCUUGCCCUUCUUGAAACUAGUGGUUUCACCAACCAUCAACAAUUGAUGCUCCUUCUUGAUUUCUACUUUCGCGGUGUCAAACAUCAUGAAUAUUUCAAGGAUCAUCAUAUCUAUCCCUGAUAUGUUAUAGUUCAUCACGAAGCUCUAGCAGCUUGGUGGCAAUGACUUUGGGGAAACAUCACUAUCUCAUUUGGAAGAUCAACUCCCACUCGAUUCAAGUGAUUGUUGCACUCAGACAAUCUGAGCACAAGCUCAACGAUUGAGCUUUUCUCCCUUAGUUUGUAGGCUAAGAAAAUUGUCGGAGGUCUUAUACCUCUUGACGUGGGCACGAGCCUGAAAUCCCAAUUUCAGCCCUCGAAACAUCUCAUAUGUUCCGCGACAUUUCAAAAACGUCUUUGGUGCCUCUACUUAAACCAUUUAACUGAACUAUCACGUAGUUAUCAAAAACAUGUAUGUCCGAUGUUCGCAACAUCCACAAACGACGUUUGGGGUUCGGCACACUCAGCAGUGCAUUAAGGACAUAAGCUUUCUACUGUCCACAUAAUUGCUACUAUCAACUUUCAACUAUAUUUUCUCUAGGAACAUAUCUAAAACAGUAGAACUAAAGCGCGAGCUACGACAUAAUUUGCAAAAGGUCUUUUGACUAUGUUCAAGAUAAUUAAGUUCAUCUUAUGAACUCCCACUCAGAUAGACAUCCCUCUGGUCAUCUAAGUGAUUACAUGAUCCGAGUCAACUAGGCCGUGUCCGAUCAUCACGUGAGACGGACUAGUCAUCAUCGGUGAACAUCUUCAUGUUGAUCGUAUCUACCAUACGACUCAUGCUCGACCUUUCGGUCUCCGUGUUCCGAGGCCAUGUCUGCACAUGCUAGGCUCGUCAAGUUAACCCUAAGUGUUUUCGCUGUGUAAAACUGUCUUACACCCGUUGUAUGUGAACGUAAGAAUCCAUCACACCCGAUCAUGACGUGGUGCUUAGAAGCGACGAACUGUAGCAACGGUGCACAGUUAGGGGAGAACACUUCUUGAAAUUUUGUAAGGGAUCAUCUUAUUUACUACCGUCGUCCUAAGCAAACAAGAUGCAUAAACAUGAUAAACAUCACAUACAAUCAAAUAGUGACAUGAUAUGGCCAAUAUCAUUUUGCUCCUUUUGAUCUUCAUCUUCGGGGCUCCAUGAUCAUCAUCGUCACCGGCACGACACCAUGAUCUCCAUCAUCAUGAUCUCCAUCAUCGUGUCUUCAUGAAGUUGUCACGCCAACGACUACUUCUACUUCUAUGACUAACGCGUUUAGCAAUAAAGUAAAGUAGUUUACAUGGCGUUCUUCAAUGACACGCGGGUCAUACAAUAAAUAAAGACAACUCCUAUGGCUCCUGCGGGUUGUCAUACUCAUCGACAUGCAAGUCGUGAAUCCUAUUACAAGAACAUGAUCAAUCUCAUACAUCACAUAUCAUUCAUCACAUUCUUCUUGGCCAUAUCACAUCACAUAGCAUACCCUGCAAAAACAAGUUAGACGUCCUCUAAUUGUUGUUGCAUGUUUUACGUGGCUGCUAUGGGUUUCUAGCAAGAACGUUUCUUACCUACGCAAGGCCACAACGUGAUAUGCCAAUUGCUAUUUACCCUUCAUAAGGACCCUUUUCAUCGAAUCCGUUCCGACUAAAGUGGGAGAGACUGGCACCCGCUAGCCACCUUAUGCACCAAGUGCAUGUCAAUCGGUGGAACUUGUCUCACGUAAGAGUACGUGUAAGGUCGGUCCGGGCCGCUUCAUCCCACAAUACCGUCGAAACAAGAUUGGACUAGUAACGGUAAGCAUAUUGAACAAAAUCAACGCCCACAACUACUUUGUAUUCUACUCGUGCAAAGAAUCUACGCAAUAAACCUGGCUCUGAUACCACUGUUGGGGAACGUAGCAGAAAUUCAAAAUUUUCCUACGUGUCACCAAGAUCUAUCUAUGGAGAGACCAGCAACGAGUAGAAAGAGAGUGCAUCUACAUACCCUUGUAGAUUGCUAAGCGGAAGCGUUCAAGUGAACGGGGUUGAUGGAGUCGUACUCGUCGUGAUUCAAAUCACCGAUGAUCCUAGUGUCGAACGGACGGCACCUCCGCGUUCAACACACGUACAACCCGGUGACGUCUCCCACGCCUUGAUCCAGCAAGGAGAGAGGGAGAGGUUGAGGAAGACUCCAUCCAACAGCAGCACAACGGCGUGGUGGUGGUGGAGGAGCGUGGCAAUCCAGCAGGGCUUCGCCAAGCACCAUGGGAGAGGAGGAGUAGGGAGAGAGGUAGGGCUGUGCCAGAACUUCGUGUAUAGCUCCCAUGUGCCUCCCCACUAUAUAUAGGGGUGGAGGGGCUGGUUUCUUGCCCUCCAAGUCCAUUGGGGCGUUGGCCAAGGUGGGAGGAAAGAAAUCUCAUUAUUUCCUUCCCCACCGAUUGUUAUCCCCCCUUUUUAGGGAUCUUGAUCUUAUCCCUUCGGGAUAUGAUCUUAUUCCUUCUAAGGGGGGAUCUUGGUGCGCCUUGACCAGGGGUGUGGGGCCUUGCCCCCACUACCCACGUCCAUGUGGGUCCCCCCAUGCAGGUGGGCCCCAUUCCAGAACCUUCUAGAACCUUCCCGGUACAAUACCGAAAAAUCCCGAACAUUUUCCGGUGGCCAAAAUAGGACUUCCCAUAUAUAAAUCUUUACCUCCGGACCAUUCUGGAACUCCUCGUGACGUCCGGGAUCUCAUCCGGGACUCCGAACAACAUUCGGUAACCACAUACAAACUUCCUUUAUAACCCUAGCGUCAUCGAACCUUAAGUGUGUAGACCCUACGGGUUCGGGAGACAUGUAGACAUGACCGAGACGUUCUCCGGUCAAUAACCAACAGCGGGAUCUGGAUACCCAUGAUGGCUCCCACAUGUUCCACGAUGAUCUCAUCGGAUGAACCACGAUGUCAAGGACUUAAUCAAUCCCGUAUUCAAUUCCCUUUGUCUAUCGGUAUGUUACUUGCCCGAGAUUCGAUCGUCGGUAUCCAAUACCUUGUUCAAUCUCAUUACCGGCAAGUCACUUUACUUGUUCCGUAACACAUCAUCCCGUGAUCAACUCCUUGGUCACAUUGCGCAUAUGAUGAUGUCCUACCGAGUGGGCCCAGAGAUACCUCUCCGUUUACACGGAGUGACAAAUCCCAGUCUCGAUCCGCAUAAAACAAUAGAUACUUUCGGAGAUACCUGUAGUGCACCUUUAUAGUCACCCAGUUACAUUGUGACGUUUGAUACAGCCAAAGCACUCCUACGGUAUCCAGGAGUUACACGCUCUCAUGGUCGAAGGAAGAGAUACUUGACAUUGGCAAAGCUCUAGCAAAUGAACUACACGAUCUUUUGUGCUAGUCUUAGGAUUGGGUCUUGUCCAUCACAUCAUUCUCAUAAUGAUGUGAUCCCGUUAUCAAUGACAUCCAAUGUCCAUAGCCAGGAAACCAUGACUAUCUGUUGAUCACAACGAGCUAGUCAACUAGAGGCUCACUAGGGACAUACUGUGGUCUAUGUAUUCACACGUGUAUUACGAUUUCCGGAUAAUACAGUUAUAGCAUGAAUAAAAGACAAUUAUCAUGAACAAGGAAAUAUAAUAAUAAUACUUUUAUUAUUGCCUCUAGGGCAUAUUUCCAACAGAUUAUGGGGGAGCAAUCAAGCUUGAAGCUUGCUGUCCAUUAUGGUGUCAAUGGAAUUGUGGAGAUGUGCCAAAGAGUGGCUCACCCAUAGUGGAGUAUGGGGGAGCAAUCAACUAGUCUUCAUCGAGCCAACACAAUCAAGAAAGGUGGUCCAACUUGAGGAAGUCAAGAUCGUCAUCAUCUAGCUCAAGUGGACUAUGUGCAAGGCAAAGGUUUGCCCUUGAUAGGUUUUCUAUUUUACCGGUCUCAUAGUGGUAGUUGGGAGACCGGGUUGUAGGAUCGAUUGCCGUACUAUCAAGGGGGACUCUCUAGGGAGUAGCUUGAUCGUAUCAUUAGUCGAGAGCUCAAACCAUUGCAUCCUUGCAUCAUCUUUCUUGGUUCUUGUUUGGUUCCAUUUGUGAGUCUUAGAGCUUAUGGUCAUCUUUAUGACAAGCUUGAGUUCAUCGAAAACGGAGUUCGCAUGCAUCUUCUAUGAUGUUUUCCAUGUUGGAGGUUUUGCCAGUUCUUCUCGGUUGGAGGUUUCACUCCUUUAUUUGUUGGCAUACCUCCCCUGCUACUCGUCAUCUUGUUUCCAACAAACUUGAGUUUGCUCAAUUCGGAGCUCAUAUGCAGAAGUUAUGGCAGUUCUGGUUUUCUUGAGAGUGGUUUUUGUCUGGUCCCAGCGGUAGUACCGCGUGCCCCAGCGGUAGUACCGCUUGGAGCUCUCAGCCGUUGUACCGCUGCUUUCGGGCGGUGGUACCGCCAACUUGCUCAGCAAAGACUUGGGCGGUUGUUCCGGCCAGGCACCGCCCAAGUACCGGUCAGGCCUCUGUUUUGAUGCGGUACUCGGGCGGUGGUGGCCCGGUUGGUCCGGUCGUACCGGUACCACCGGUGUCCGGAGUGGUUCGACCGCUCAGGACUUAGCCGCCCGAGCGCUCAAGGCCAUGCGGUUGCACCGGCCCGGUACCGCUCGACUACCGCACUCAGGGGUGACUCCCUUCUGUUCCUAUGCGGUGGUUGAGCGGUGGCUGGGCGGUUGGUCCGGUUGUUCUUCUCAACCGGUGCUACCGCCUGGUCGCCCGGUUGUACCGCCUGGUAGGGUUUUGCAUGUAUACUGUGAGUCCCGGUUGUACCGGGACCAGGAGCGGUAGUACCGCUCGUGUGCGGGCUGAGCACAUAACGGUUGGAUUUCCCCCUCCUAUAAAAGGGGGUCUUCUUCCCCAUUGAACCUAACCCUUUUGAGCUCGUGUUCUUCCCCCUUUAUUGACCUUCUUUGAGCUUGCUAACUCUCAUUCCCUCCAUGGAUUCUUUCUAGUUUUUGAGGGAAAAGAGAGAGGGGAUCUAGAUCCACAUUUCCACCAAUCACUUUCUCCUCUAUGUGAGGGGAACCCCUUGGAUCUAGAUCUUGGAGUUCUUGGUGUUCUUCUUCUUGUUCUUCCUCUCAUUUUCCUCCCUAGCAUUAGUUGCUCCGAUGGGAUUUGAGAGAGAAGGACUUGGGCACUCCGUGUGCCCUUACCAUUGCAUUUGGUGCAUCGGUUUGAGUUCCCCACGGUGAUACGUGGAAGUGAAGUUUGAGAAGCUUAUUACUCUUGGGUGUUUGGGCACCCUAGAGCUUGUUCCUCUUGGGUGCCUUGGCGCCCUAGACGGUUGGUGUUGUUCGGAGCUCAAUCAUUGUGGUGUAAAGCUCCGGGCAAGCGUCGGGGUCUCCAAUUAGGUUGUGAAGAUCGCCCCGAGCAAUUUGACGGGUACCGGUGACCGCCCCCAAGGGUUGCCAAAGUGUACGGGUUCGGUGACCGCCCCCAAGGGUUGCCAUUUGUACGGGUUCGGUGACCGCCCUCAAGGGUCCCUUGGUGGAAUCACGACAUCUUGCAUUGUGCGAGGGCGUGAGGAGAUUACGGUGGCCCUAGUGGCUUCUUGGGGAGCACUGUGCCUCCACACCGCUCCAAACAGAGAUUAGCAUCCGCAAGGGUGUGAACUUCGGGAUACAUCAUUGUCUCCGCGUGCCUCGGUUAUCUCUUACCCGAGCUCUUUACUUAUGCACUUUACUUUGUGAUAGCCAUAUUGUUUCUUGUCAUAUAUCUUGCUAUCACAUAGUUGCUUAUCUUGCUUAGCAUAAGUUGUUGGUGCACAUAGGUGAGCCUAGUUGUUUUAGGUUUUGUGCUUGACAAAUUAACCGCUAGGUUUAUUCCGCAUUUGUUUAAGCCUAAAUCGUAAUUAUUUUAAAAUGCCUAUUCAUCCCCCCUCUAGGCGACAUCCACGAUCUUUCAAGCGCGACGCUCCCGAGCGCGCUCGAGCACGUCUUCCACACCAUCAUCUGCCCCAAGCAAGCGCCGGGGGCCACGAAUCAGCACUCCCCCUCCGGGCAGGGGGCUGGGGGUUGGCACCCUCGCGACGGCCGGGCAUGCCGCGCCAUAAGCCCGGCCUGGAGCCAGCCCGUCCCCAGGUAAAGAGCGCAGGGAGCGCAUCAGCCAAUCGCAGUCCACGACCAGGUGAGAAGCCCACGGCAGGCUGGCUAUGUCACGAGAAGGCCCGCGAAGGAGGAUCGCGAGGUGCGCAGGGCCACGAUACGCCUCGGGACGGUUCGCCUCUUCGAUCGCCCUCACCACAAGGGCUCCGCUGCUCGGAGCGCUUGAGGACGGCGGAGGGGGCGAAGCCAAGGGGGACGGCUGCUCAGCCGUCUCCGCAAGCUCGGCUGGAAGGGGCCUGCAGAGCAAGGGUCAGUAAAAGCAACAGAAGAAUCGGGAGCUGGGAAAGGAGAAGGCUUACUCAUCAGUGACGAAGUACUUCCUAUGCUUCAGCAGGCGACAAGGGUAAUCGUCGCCCAGGGCCUCCCUUCUCUUCCGGAGGGCCUCAAAGUCCAUGCGGAAGCGGCCUAAGAGUUGGGCGCAGGGAUCAACCAGCGACGAAGAUGGAGCGUCAAAGCGAUCUGCGUCAGGGGUGCCUGCCUGAUGUGCGCUGCCGAUCGCCUCGCCAGGAGAAGCAACCGGAGCCUCAGGGGCCUCAGUCGCAGGCGCAGAGGGUAGCUGCUUGUCACCCUCAGCCUCAGCGGCACGGGCCCCAAGAACUGCUCCCUCAUGAGCAUCGUCCGGCGCUGUCACCCCGCCGAGAGCCUCCUCGGCCUCUGGCGCCUCAUGCCUCCCUGCUCCGCCGCUUGAGGAAGAGUCGCCUUGGCCGACUGGAAGGGCAGUCACCACCACUGGGUUCUCGCGAGGCCCCUGGAGGCCGGCGGGGCGCGGCCCCCACUCAUCAAAGAUAGGCAUCUGCUUCGCAAAAUCGCCCCUACUCUGGCAGAGGUACAACAAGGCCCCUCCCUGCUGGAUGCUGCCGGGGUUGGGGUCCCCAGUCAGGGUCAAGAGCGCUGUCCUCAGCGCUUCAGGAGUCAGGUCCUCUUCCUGGAGCCUCAUACGAUCAUCGCGUCCGCUGAAGGCCCACAUCCGGCGGGAGUGGCGUUGGAGAGGAGCAACGCGGCGUAGCAGGAACUCCUUCACCACCUUGGGCGCUGUCACGCCAAGCAACCUCAAGAACGCGAAGCGGUGCCAGACGAAGACGAGCCGGGGGCUCUCAAGCGUCUCCUGGCCCCAGCCCGAAUUGGGGACAACAGGCGAAGUUGGCUCCGAUAGCAGGGGGCUGGGCACCCCUGCGUCCACAUACAGCCACCACUCGCGGAACCCAGCCGCGGGCAGGGGGAGCUUGAAGUCAAUCCCAGAGGCCGCUGUCUCAGACGCGGCAACGAAGCUCACGCACGCCCAGCAUUGGGUAGGGUCGACAAGGCGCAGCGAGAAGAAGUGGCGCAGCAAGGCAACCGAAGGAAGGAUGCCCAUCAUAGCCUCGCAAACAAAGACGGAGACCGAAAGGAGAGUGAUGGAUUCAGGACCCAGAUGCAUCAUGUGGGUCUGAUAGUGGGAAAGCACGACAUUGAAGAAAUCAGAAAAGGGAGGAACCAGACCCGUCCACAGGGCGUCGGCAAAAUACGGGACCUCGGUGACUAUCCUGUCGAUGGAGAAGUGGGACGCGGGCCAGGCCGUCGUCCUCCCACAUUCGUUGAAGAUAGUGGCCAGAGCCGAGCUGACCUUGCCCAAGCCCUCGGCGGGGGCCGCCAACGGCGGCGGGCAAGGCGGAGACACGGGUUUCUUCCCUCUUCCCUUCUUCGUCGGAGCCAUGGUGAUGGGAAGGGGGGGAAGGUUCGAGAUUGGGUUGAAAACAGAAGCCGGAGUUCGAGCGGAGGAAGGACAGAGGGCGCUCGAGCAACAGAAAGGGGAACGGCUGUGUACGACUACGAGUCCGCCUAGCAUGGCACAAAAUAAGGAGGGCGCGGGGGAACAGUGCCGCCCACGUCCAAUCAACCGCCACGCAGCGUCCAAGGCCGCCGGCUGUUAGGGCCCGCGGCGCUUCGCUCUUGCCCUUCCGCCUCCCUGCACGGCCAAGUCCGGGCGCGCCUUGGGCCCGGGGGCUACUGUCGGCGUUCUGGGAACGGGGGUCCUCAGACUUGCCUGCCUGCGGCCUGCGGCGUGGCUCAAAGGGGGCCUCAGCACGACCCAUCUUCACCAACACAAACCCAAGACUCUCGCGAGGGGCCAAGUCUCGCGGGGCGGACAACGCGGAGCUUCUCAGGCACGGCCUCAUCAGGCUGGCUCGCGAGGAGGCGGAGAGAUCAAGGCGGGGUACCUCACGAGGUGCCCGUGACGCAAGCCAUGACGACCAAGGGCGCCAGACGGGUGCCAGCCCGCGCAGUGUCCUCCUUUCCCCUUUGGUGCAAAUGGGGCAAGCGCAGCCGUGGAGUACCGAGGCAUCAGGCAAAGGUUGCCAUUUCGGUGCAACAAGACCAAGACCAGGAGGACUGCAAGACGGAGGUCAUUAUGGAGCCCAAGACGGCGUCACCACCAGAGCUUUGUGCAGGCGAAGACUACUUUUGUCAGGAUAACUGGUACUAGCUGUCCCCUUUCAAAUUAGCCCGCCAUUGUUGGCUCCCUUCCCGCUCGAUAUUUGGAAAGAGGACCAGGGCCUCUAUAAAUAGGACCAGCCACCCGCAGGAUGGAAAGAGGGGGGGUGAGAGGUUAGAGGUUGGAGAGAGGCAUCAUCAGUUGUGAAGAGAGAGAGAAGGGUGACUGGACUCCUCCCAGCAGUUCAUCGCCCCAGCCAAGAACAGACCCUCGCGAGGCUGUUCUUCCUUGUAUUGUUCGUCACUAUCAGCCCAAGAGGCAAUCCACCACACCACACACUGGAGUAGGGUAUUACAUCACAACGGUGGCCCGAACCAGUAUAAACCCUGUGUCUCUUGUGUUGUUCUUUCCAUAGUUUAGAUCUUAGCGUGGCGGAGGGGUGCAGGUAGGUAGGAGGCGAAAUCUCCGCGCGCACCUCAGUGUUCGAACCUCAAGGGUCUGCCGGAACCCGAAAUCCGACAGCGGUGGCGCCAGCCGGGGCAGGCGGAGGCGGACUUCGGGCGGUACAACAUCCGGUGCGUGGUGCGCACCAUCUACGUGCUCUUCUCCGGCCGCGAGAUCCCGGCCGCCGAGCAAGGCCAGGAGGCCAUGGACCUAGCCGACGGCUCCGCGCCCCUGCCGGAGUGGUUCACCGAGGAGGACCUCGACGUGUACGCCGCGCUCUACGAGAACUCCGGCUUCGGGUACCCGAUCAAAAUGCCGUACGGGUCGCUGGACAAGAUGGCCACCCAGCUGGAGGCCAGGUUCGAGGUGCCGGUGCUGAUGGUGAUGGGGGAGGACUACGUCAUGAAGCUGCCAGGGUUCGAGGCCGCCGUGAGGGGCGGCAUGAUGGCCGGCUUCGCGCCUGACCUCAAGGUCGCCUUCGUCCCGGAGGGCAGGCAUUUCGUGCAGGAGCAGUUCCCGACGCAGGUUAACGAGCUCCUCCUUGGUUUCUUGAAGGAUCACCCGUGAUCCUGGGCGUGGUGGGGAUGACACUGUUUACAGUAGUGUAGUUGCAACUGGCAACGGUGAACGGUCGCUUGCCUUGCACAGCGACCACCACGUGUAUCAUUGAAGCAAAUAUCCAAGUCCAAAUGCCCAUGUAUACAUUUUUCAUCCCAAGUCUUAUUCGAUGUCAACCAAAAUGUGUGUCCCUGACCCGGCGAUUACGGCUUGGUUGAAGCAUUCGACUUUAGGUGUUGGGUUUUGGUGUGAGGUCUGGGCAUGCGGCCUGGACAAAACGCACCUCUUCAUCAAGUUGAUAGGAGUAGCGACAGAUGGUGCCAAGACAGUGGUUUCAGACUUAUUGAUGUAUUACUUUAUAAGGCCUUAGUGAAUAAUUAAUAAAAUGGUUGUAUGCAUCGCCUUGAUGAAGAGGCCGGGGUCAUCCUUCUUUUCGAAAAAAAAUCAUUGUAUUGGAGAGAUGUAAGUUUGUAAGUUAUUCUAAAGUAACAAAAUAAACUAGUGAAAUAAUGUUCCUUCUUAUCUUAUUCCCUCUCAGCUCAUCUGAACAAACAACCCACAAUUUGUCAUAUAUGAAAACAAAUUCAAUAAAAAGACAUAUACAACCCACCAUCUAUCAUUAGCUAUUCUUGGAAAGUGUCUGACUAGCCUAUAGACCAAUGAACAUUUAUAUGUUUGUACAUUUUGCCUUCCACUGCUUCUUUUAAUUUUACCUUUUUACGAGUAGAGAUACAUUUCUGUUGCAUUGUAUAAAAAAUGAUUUGCAUGAUUUGAGUUGUCAUGUGUGAGGUUGUCCUUCUUGAACUAAAGCUUAUGAGGGACAAGGAGGAAGUUUCUGUGCCUCAAGGGUCUCGAAGUAAAGGAGUUGUCCUAUGGACAACCUCUACUCUCCGUCGUGCUAACAUAUUAUCUUUUACAAUAAGGCUUUUGCCAACUCUUCAAGUGCAAACAAAUCAAACUUGGCCAACUACACUUGCAAUGUUAAAGAUGCUUUGAAAAUACUGCAAAUUAAGAUUUGGUAUCACUAAACUUAAUAUAAGUUGUCCUUUACAUUUUAAUAGGUUAUAGUUUUGUCGUACUGCACAAAAGCAUCAACCGUAAGUGAGGCCAAAUAACUUGCCUUGGUUAAUACGUCAAGUUCAGUAUGACUAGGAUAAUGUAGAGGAAGGAGCCGAGAUAGAAUACAAGUGUUAUAUCUUAUGGUUUUGACGACGAAGCUGAUUAGAACACCUUUUCUCGCCAGCAAAAAUGUGGAUCCACGAGGUGCUGUGUUGUUGAUAACUUGACCCGGAAGGGAAGGGGAGCGCAUAAGGGUCAAAUGUUCCGAAGGACAUUGCUGUGACAUCGUGAUAUGCUUACCCUUUGCUGUAUUUAAUGUGUAGUGUUGUGUGAACAUCAAAGUAGCGGAAUGAAUGUAUUAGAUGUGUAUACGUGUUAUGUGAACAUCCCUAAUCAUCCUUUAGAGCGAGGGAUUUGUUAUCGGAGCGAAGGUCCAGCCCAUGUAGCUCUUUCUAACUAGCUCAGUCUAGAUAAAAAUUAACCCAUGAGCCAAGUUCAUGGACUAAUAUAUUACAUUUUACAAAUUUUUAUGGAAAGUUCAUAUAUCUCAUGUACAAUUAUCUUUUUUCGCUCAUGUGAAGCUCUAGAAUGAUUUCCGCAAAAAAACCCCUCUAGAAUGAUAAUAUCUCAUACUCCCUUUGGGACAAGUUUUUUCUGAACGAAGGAAGUACGAAGAUACAAGUGAGUGGAGUAUCUAAACUCAUGUUUUAUGCAUAACUCCAUUUACUUGAAAACACUUAAAAAUUUUAUUUAAACUAUGCAAUAGAGGCCUGAUCGUACUCCGGAUCGGGCCAAGGUAGGCUUAACAAAGGAGUCCGAAAAUGCCAACCCCAAACCUGACCCAAAACACAUGAGUAGUAAAUUUUGCCCCAUCUUCUAAAAAAAGUAAUUUUUGCCCCUUCAAGAUUCGAUUAUUUAGAUCUGAUGAGUUUAUAUUAUUGUGUCAAGCAUUUUUUGUUAGUCUAAUUCUUUAUGGAAGUGAAAUCUUACAUCGACAUCAUGGUGAAGAUGUAGUGAUUCGACGGCCUGCACUUCUAGAGGAUCAUCCCUGGCUCAAGUACGUUCAUCGUUCGUGCGGGCGAAAGAGUGACAACACCGUUGCUCCAGUCCAAUUGUAGAUUCUUUAUCAAAGUCUUUGGAGUAUUUCUUCGAGCAGAGAUUGAUACCGCGAAGAAGGUGAUUUUAAGAGAUUUCAUUGUAAUUCUUAGUCAUAGGAGUUACUUUGCAUUUUUUUGAAUUUUAGAUCCAAAUCAGUGUACAUGUAAUUGUUUUUUUUAACAUCAGUACAGACACAAGCGUUCAUAUACACUCGCAUACACUCAUCCCUAUAAACGCACACACACACCUUACCUCUAUGAGCACCUUCUAAAGACUGAGCCGACAUAUCAUCUUGAGAUUUACGAAGUCACUGUAGACGCCUCGUCGUCGACGGGAACGUCUCCUCCCACUUUGUUAUGAGUAUGAAUAAAGUUACAAAUGUUUCUAAAAAUGUAGUUUCUGCCCCUAAAAACAUGACUAGUAUUUAUUCCUCAAAAAAGUAUGAAUAGUAAUUUUAUUAUUAUUUAACUGAAUUAAUUUUGGAUUAUUUAAAUACAUUAUUAUACCUGUUUUCUCCCCUAAAAUACCGACGUCCCAGUUUCGAGUUUUUUCCGAGCUUCUGGGCCAGGCUUUGGGCGAAAAAGCUAAGCACGAGUCGGGCCCGGAUGCCGGGUUUUCGGCCCUGGGCCUUUUACCCGGGCUUCCCUCAGGUUUACCCGUGACUUUUACAAUCUACUCCUAAGAAAUUCCUUUUACCAUUCGCUCGAAAAUUUGUCUAAGAAAACCAUUCGCUCGAAAAUUGCCUAAAAAAAUCGCUCGAAAAAUAAAAAUAAUUCCUUUUAUUAUCAGAAAAACAGUCUCGUAUUCUCCCGAAGCCGCACAUAACCAGGCCGCGUCGCACGGCCGUCUUCCCCGUUCUCCCCCCGCCGCUCCCCCUCUCCCCCGCCGUCGCCUGCUCGCCCCCGCGGCGCAAGGCGGUGACCCUGCAGGACGAUCGGAGCCGCGUCGCUCUUCGCCUCCUCCGCUCUCCCUAGCGGCGAGUAGACCGAGACGCGGAGGCCUCCCCCGGCAUCGCCCGCAAUGUUGCGCCGGUACGGGCACCGACCUAGGUUUCCGCCCCGCCGAAUUAGGGUUUCCACGCCUAAUGCCCUGCUCUCUCUUCCAUUGCAGGUGCGUGCGGGAUCUGUACCCGCUGCGGUCCCUCAGGAGGAUCCCCAGGCCGAUCUCCAGCGAGGUAAUCAAGCGUCCCCGUUAUGUCUCAUGGCUCGAUCCCCAUUAGGACGGUCUCUGGUGGUUGCAGCUGGUCGAAUUGCUUGCUCUGGUAGGCGUGUGCUGGGCUGAGAAUUCGGUUGCUUGUGAGAGCUUACCUGGGAUUGGUAGAUUCGUUGAUUAAGCUGCCAGUGGAGGGGUUGUGUUAUGGGUGUUCAUGUCUGAUUAGUUUUUGGGAAUGCUGCUCGUCCUGUCAUUUGUUUUAGUUAACAUAGCCCGUUUGUGUUCAUCUGAUUUGAGAUGAGAUUAACUAAGGGCUGUCUGUGUUUGGAGCAUGAUGCUGUGGUACAUGUGGCAAUGUUUGGAACUUAAUAUGAGUUGACAUUAGCUUAGUUGGUAAUGAAAGAAUCCAAUUAGAUUGGCCUGACAUGAAUCAUGUAUUUUCUACUUAUUUUGCUACAUAUGCGGUUUGUAUUAUUUUUCGUACGGAACACUGAUUACUCGCAAACCCUUGAUGAAUGCUUCUAGAAGGAAAUAGGACAACACCUUCUUGUGAUACUUUGUAAUGUUAUGUUGUUACUUAUUCGUUAGUAAUAUUGUCAGUGCAAACGCAAACUUCUACUGCGAGUUGAUCGGACCUGUCAAAAGCCAUGUCUAUGUUUUUUAUUCCAUGUGCUCAUCACAUAUAUUUACAUAAAUGCUGUGAUUUUCUAUGUGCAAUGAAUGCACACAAUUUAUGUUAUUAGGUUUGUAAUGCUUUUGCAACCGCCUUUCCUCAUUCCGUUCCUUAGCUUUGGAAGUUUGCACAAUAGUUGGGAGUAUUUUUGCAUUUUUUUCUCUUUCUGUUGCUGAUAGGCCUGAAGUGCAAGAAAGUGACAGAAUAACCUAUUUAUCAGGUCCAAAGUCCAACAUUCGGUCAGCUCAGAAGAAACUCAACAAAAGCAUCCCAACAAGGUUCAGCACAGAAAUCUGUCCCUGGACCUAAAGAAGAACCUUCUAAGUCUGGAAGCAAGGUUCCAAAGCUUCUGCUUGGAACUCUGCUUGUUGGUGCUGCUGGUAUGGCCGCUUAUCAAGCUGGCUACAUAGACCUUCAGUUUAUGGAUGAAAAAUUGCCUUCGACCAUCAGGGAACAAAAUCUCACAAAGAUGUAUGAAAAUCUGAAGUUCCCUUUUGAACAAAAGGUUGAUCAGAAACAAACCAUGUUGGAUCCAAAGAAUGACAUUGUUCAGGAUACACCCAUGGUCCUUCCAGCUGAAGGGAUUCCAACUGCCAGUGAGCAGCCUACUCCUGCAGAAGAAAAAGAAACAGAAACCGUAACCCAGGGAACACUGCCAGUUCAAGAUGAGCAUGGUGCUGAUACUAAACUGCCGUCUCAAGAUACUCUCUCUGUUGAUAUAAAGCCAAAUGUUGUAAAUAAGGCAGCAGGUGAAGUUCCUCUUGGACAAGCUGACAAGAUAAGUAGCACAGUUUCUCCAGUAGAAUCAAGCCCAACAACGGCUGAAGUACAAAAGGUUUGAGUUCGUCCUGAACUUGUUAUAUAACCACCGAUUUAUCAUCAUUUGCAUGUUGAUUGGUAUAUCAAAGUACUUAUAUUUUCUCAUUCCAAAUUGGUAAUUCGAUGGAUUCUAUAGGCUUAACAAGGAUUACUGUGUUGCUUUUAGUUUUUAUAGAUUAUACACUGUAGAGGUUAUGCCAUAUGAUUUAUGCAGAAGAAAUAUCUAGAAAUGGAGAUCUGAAUGAAAUCCUCCAGUAAUCUAGUUUUAAAAAACAUGAUUAGUCAUGCAGCUGUCACAGCUUGUUGUUUAACAGUACUAUCAUCUAUCUAUGUUUGUGAUUUCUGAAUUUUUUAUUCGAUUGGAAUUUGACAUUUAGAGCUGGCGCUCUUGAGCAAUUUUGAGUUGAUAGUAUAUUGACUUUGAGUUAUAUCACUGUGAAGUUUAGAACCACUAGAUUGUAAGUUACAUUUUAGUAACACACCACCAGUUGUUCCAUGUAGCAAAACCUGACGAAACUUUUUUUAUGUCUGUAUUUUUGCAUGAUGCUGUUUCUAAGUAUAUAUUGAAUAAGGACGCUGGUAGAAUCGUCUAAUUGAUAAAUCCUUAUCUGUAGGAUCCAUUAGGUGCUGAUGUAGGUGAACAUAAAUCUCUUGCUGAGACAUAUUUACUACAGGAGGAGCAUGAUAUUCCUAAAGAUGUGGUAUGUAUUCCCACCUUUAAAAAUUGGACAAUACCAACAUUGGAAGAAAUACUUCCUAUUGAUGGAGAGGCUGCUAGAAAUAAGUUGAUGACACUUAAUAUUCAUAUUUCAAUGUUUACUUUAUCUAUUUAUGUUGUUAAACAGAGUGCUAAGGAGACUAAAAGUGAUGGCAUUGUUGGUGGUGUAAAAGCUUCCGAUGAUGGGAAAAUUAUGCUGGAUAUUAUAGAUGCUAUUCAUGCCGCUGAAAAAAAGCAGGCAGAUACAGAUGCUUACACGUAUUCUGAAGAGAAAAGGAAGUUGAAGGUUUGUUAUCCAUUUGCACGUGAUGUUUCUACUUAGCCAUGGUCGUUGCUUUGUACACAUCAAGGAUUAGCAGUAGCAUAGCAUGCCUAUGUAUUUUUUUGUACAGUAUUGUUUUCCUCCUGUUGAGCUGUUUCAGUUCUCAUGGACAUCCAGCAGUUCCAUAGCAGCUGCAGUGCUGCUAAAUUAGUUCAUGUUUUUAUUGAUAAUGACAAUAGUCAUUGAACCUUUUGAGCAUAUAUACUCCCCUAUUAAAAAAUAAGAGCAUAUUAUUCUCCAACACUACAAGGCUUGCAAAUUUAAUGACACUUUCUUCUUUUUGCCCUAGUUUGUUUCCCCCCUUUCUUCGACAUUUAUAACUAAACACUGCUACUCCCUCUGUUCACUUUUGUAAGUCGUUUAAGACAGCUGAAAUUGAAUUGUUUUAGGUGCUGUCUUAAAUGUCUAAAAGGUCUUACAAAAGUGAACAGAGGGAGUAUUAAUUUAUCCCUCUCUUAUUACCAAGACAUCAAUACCAUGGAUAUCAUGUUUACUUCCCUUUACUUCUCUUGGUUUCAUACCAUUCCCAAUCCACUCGUAGCAAACAAAGUAACACCUUACAUCUGAAUGGACGGAGUAGCACAGAGUUGACAGUAAUAAUUUUUUCUUGGGUAUGCUUGUGUUUUUUCAGGAAAGAUACGAAAAGGAGCUGAAGGAUACGAGGGCCCGGGAGCUCAUGUACGCUGAAGAGGCAGCAAUUCUGGAUAAGGUGAGUCAGGCAUGCCUUUUCUGGUUUCCUUAUGCACGCUCAAGUCAUGUGUACGCUUGUAUGUUUCUUCAGUGAUGAGCCAGUUUGCUAGAUGUAAAAUUGGUAAUAUUAUUGGAAAUUUCAUGAAAACGACAAUAUAUGGAAAAUCUUUUUCAUUGUUACGUUGAGAUGGCACUAACGUGAUCAAUCCAGGUAUUUCUAUGUAUAUUUCGAGUGUUCCACCCAACAAAUAUUGCGUCGACGUACGUGUAGACGUUGAAGGAGUAGUAGUUUAACAAUAUUUCUCAAAUGUUAGUGAAAUAUGGAUUAAAUAAAAUCAAAACAUCAGAAUUAUAUCUGCACAAUGUGCAUGCUUUUCUUCACUCUUGUCAGUGUAUUUUAGUAUGCACUAUACUUGUAUAUAGUAUCUUUUGUCUGUGUUUUAGUUUCAGAUGAUUGCUUUAAUUUUGUGGCAUUUUGAAUUUCAUGAUGUUGCUUCAGGAGCUGAAGAAAGAGAAAAUGAAGGCUGCUGCUGCAGUUAAAGAACUUCAAGAAAAAACUGAACAAAAGCUGAUGGAUGAGCUGCAGCGGAAGGUCUGUCAGAUGUGCUUCGGUGUGCCAUAUUUUUUCUACCCUCCUUACAUCAAUUCUUUAUGUGACUGUACUAUGACUGACAUAAUAGGAUGAGGAAGCAAGUCAACAAGUUGAGAAGGUACAAGAGUUGGCAAAAGCCGAACUGGCCGCAGCUCUUGCAAAGGAGAAAGCAUCCCAGAUCGAACAGAUUGCUGAAGCAGAUCUCAAUGUAUGAACCUGUACCAUCUUUUCUUUUACGAUGAUAGGCAAUGUUGUAAACAGCCUUAUGAGGUUGGCAUACUGCAACCCCAGUACCCUAUACCAAUACUUCAGGAGAUGCGCGUGAUAGUAGCACGUGUCUCUCAAAUGCGGUUUGCUGAAUUGAGCGGUUUCCUUGAAAGCUUUAGUGGUCGCACAAAAAUGGUAAUAUCUAUAUACUGCUGGAGUCUCCCCUACAGCUUUCAUUAAAAAUACAGAUUAUCUUAAGAUCAUGUGGACAUAUCAAUUGAGUAAGUGCACUCCAGAUAAUUCUUAGAGACCAUGGUACUAGAACAUGCUCACUUGCAAUGAACUAAGGAGCAAGCGAAUUGGUUGAAUAGUGAAAUUGGAUGGAUUUUAUUGCAAUCAAAGGCAGAACAUUAUCUAAGAAGGGACUGUUUUCCUUCUUUUAAAAUAAUAGGCGAUCUUUGUUUGUUCUAUCUUCCAUGUAUACAUCUUCCAUUGCUAGACAAUUUGUGCAGUGUGUACAGUUUCAGCUUGCUUGCACUUGUUUACUGCCUUUUUGGGUUUAUUUUCAGAUAGAUGCUUUGUGUAUGGCAUUCUAUGCGCGAUCUGAAGAAGCUCGGCAGAGUCAUUCUGUUCAUAAGCUUGCUCUAGUAAGUAUUUCACUUUGAUCCCAUCAUGUACUCGCUUCGGAAGGCUGGAAGCUUAGUUAUUAUUGUCUAAUCCUCUGCUUUCAGAUUUCUAAUGACAUAAUUCUUAAUUCUCUGCAGGGCACUCUUGCUUUGGAAGAAGCUCUAUCCAGCGGCUCGCCAAUCCGGACAGAGGUCGAUCAAUUGCGUAAAUCUCUUGAAGGUAUUGAUAAAGAUUCACUGUUAGAAUUGGCUCUUUCAUCGCUUCCAGAAGAUGUUCUCAAGUAUGGAUCAGAUACCCAGAUGGAGUUAAAACAGAAGGUAGGUUUUGUGCUGCAAUAAAUGUUCACAUCUGCUUACAGCUUUUUAUUUGUGUAAUGUACUGUUGUUUAAUAUGAACUCAGUGUGAAAACUCAAGUAAUAGUAAUGCAUUCCUGAUUGUUGUAUCAUUUUGAAUAUUAGAGAUUGCUAUUUACUUGCAGAUGUUAAUUACUUGUUUUGUUUGUAAACACAUACAAGUCGUUUCAGAUAGGGGCACACCCUGCAACACACACCUUUCACAUCCAUACCUUUGACCAUUAUUUUUCUAGUUAUAUGUAGAAUAACUAUAAUGAUCUGCAAGUACUUUUGAUGCCCAAAACAAUAUUCAUUCCCAUUUGAGAACCUGAAUACUUGGUAAAAGCAUUGUUGAGGAAAUCGUUAACUGGUAGCUGCUCGGUGGGCUGGUGAGUAGGGGAUUAAUAGGCUAAUCGGCAAGUUAAUCGGCCAUUUAAUCAGUUAAUCGGACGAUUUAUCGGGUAAUCGGCUACUCGGGGACCCUAUGAGUAGGGAUUAAUCGGCAAGUUAACUGGUUAAUCGGAUGAAUUCUUGAACAGGGGGUAAAAGUCAUAUCUCUAUUAAUCAUGCAAUGAUGUACUGUCAGUUGUCAUGACACUUAUUGAGCAAAAACUAGUCUGGCUACCCUUACCAUCAUUUCUUUUUGCAGUUUAAUUCCUUGAAGGCAACAGUCAGACAUUUCGGUCUUAUACCAUCAGGUGGUGGUGGUAUACUUACGCAUGCUGUCGCUCAUGUUGCUUCUAACAUCAAGGUGUGUUGAUACAGGCAACUUUCUACUGGUCAAUGAGAAUUCUAUAUUGUGGAACCUGAAAAUUUUGUAUCUGAAUCUUCUGAUCAAGAGCUAUCUAAUGCUACUAUUUAUUCAAAGCAUUAUCUAAUUUCAAGUCCAGACAUUGUAUUGCCUCCACAUUUUUCACUUGUACUCCCUCCGUUUCUAAAUAUGUCUUUCUAGAGAUUUCAAUAUGGACUACAUACGGAGCAAAAUGAGUGAAUGUACACUCUAAAAUAUGUCUAUAUACAUCCGUAUGUAGUUCGUAUUGAAAUCUCUAAAAAGACUUAUAUUUAGGAACGGAGGGAGUAAUAGUUGUCCUAGUUGACCCCCUGGGUUCUCUCCACCAGGCUUGAUAGAGCAUGGUUAUCCUUUGGACUCCUUAUAGCAAUGGAUCCUUCUGGCAUGGUUACAAUCAGUGAUCAUCUUAUUAGUAAAUUCGGCCGUCCUUAAUAAAAAAUACCUGCACUGAUGAGAUACUGUUGAAAUUACAAAUUAUGCUUCUAAAUCUGUUGCAACUGGUUUCAGGUCGAAGAGGACCCAUCUGGAGAUGGUCUUGAGUCUCUCAUAAGCAGAGUGGAAGACUUGAUUGUAGGAGGAGAUUUGACCGCAGCAGCCGACGCCCUGACAGGAGGGUUGCAGGGGACCGCAGCGGAGGAAGCAGCUGCCGAGUGGGCGAAGCAGGCAAGGAAACGCGCGAUUGCAGAGCAGACGCUCACCCUGCUUCACUCGUACGCUUCUUCGAUCACAUUUUCGUGAUCUCGAUCAUUGAUGGAUCUUUUUUUUCUUCUAUUUGGCAAGAUUUACAUGCCAGCGCUGCAGAUUUCACGAUACUCACAUGUUUCUCUAUACCAUGUCGCAAAUGCAUGGUCCUUGUAAACAGAGAUAAUAAAUUUUGCCGUGUAGCCACUUGGUAUUGUGAUACUCCAGUCGCCAGACAAGUUUGGAUAGAUAUGUCAAACCUUUUUUUCCUUCUUUUUACUGAAAAUGUGAUGUUCGUGGUCUAGCUGCUAUGGCACAGUGUAAGGUUGCAGGGGGAGGAACGCUUAUGUUGCAUGCAGGAAUUUCCUCACUGCAAGUGAUCCACUGAAAGGUUUGAGUUCAGUACCUCUUUAAUGAGGCUGGGCACAGAAUAGCCGCUCUGACCAUAUAUAAUUCGGGCUUGGAAAACAAAAAAUUCCUGUGUAGAGAUUACAAUUUUAUCAGUCAGAGUGCUCUUAUAUCUCAGUCCGUCACUUUACUAUCUCUUCCAACAGGGCUCGGUUGCAACUAUUGUUCAGGUGUAUGAGCAACAUGAUUGAGCGAGUAUUGUUUUUUGAGAAAGGAACAAAAGACUAAAACGCUUAAAUGCACGAGUUUCUAAUUCAGUGCUCUGCAUCACAUACUGCGCAUCCUACUUAUCAAAGAAUCAAUAGCUUCAAAGUAUUUUGUUCUUUGAGAAAACCUAAAAGCUUGACCUCCAGACCACCAUGCUUCGAACCAACUGUUGUGCUCCACCUCCAGCACCGCGGUAGGCAAAGGAGGGAUCCAAUGCGUUUUAUAUUCACACGACCGCGGUAGGCAAAGGAGGGAUCCGACGCGUUUUAUAUUCAGACGACCGCGGUAGGCAAAGGAGGGACAGCAGGUCUUCCAGCACAGCGUCCUCUAGCUGCUCGCCGGCCCGCGUCUCCGCGACCAUUGUUUAGACUAGCCACAAUGGGUGUUAUUAGUCUAUGUUACUACCUCUAUAGUGGGGAGUAACAUAUGUGUGGUAAUAUGGAGCCCUUCAUUUAUUAAGCUAUAGACACAUUUUGCCUUGAUAUGUGUGAUGUUACUCAUACUAGUUAUGUUACUACUUUCAUCUCUUUCUUCAUUUAUUGCAUAUGCCACAUCACCUAUUUAACCUAGAUAUGUGUGAUGUUACUACCUAUGUUACUCCCAUUGUGAGUAGUCUUAUAUCCAGACGGAGGGAGUGAUGAACAUCUCUAAUUAUUUUAGUAUGCAAUAUCACUCAUACUAAUUAAACAACCAUGACAAUAACAAAUAAUUUCAAUCUCAAGUUUCUUAAUAGGACAUUGUCGGCCCAGUGGGAACCAGAGUACCACGAGCCGUUUGCCUGCGGCCCAGGAAGCGACACCAGGUGAAGGACUCAAGAGGCGACCCAACCAUGGGAGCCACGACGUAAGAUGACUCGCGAGGGCCAUGCCUCGUGAGGACCCUCUCCGCGAAGCAAGCACUACCGAAAACCGUCUCCCACGGCAGGUAGACUCGCGAGGCCUGUCUCAUAAGGCGGCCUCCCAUGAGGCCCUCUGUGGGGGGAAGCUGCGCGACAUGGAUCACGUAGCUACGUACCCACCACAUGGGUGACACGCCUGCGCAAGAUGACAACAGUAGGGGCCAUGCCAGUAGGCGCGGUCAGGGGAGGUUUCCUUUUUGGUGAUAAAGGAGCAGCGGCGGCUACCUCCCCCCCAAAGCAAGUUCCAAAGCCUACCACUUCGGUGCGAGAAGACCAGGAAGACACGACGCACUAGGGCAGAUGUCAUCGGCGAGCUCACCAGCGCGUCAUGGAUAGGGUCUUUUCUAGGCGGAGACUGCUUUUGUCAGGAUAGGACUGAGCGUCUGCUCCCCUUUGAAUUGUCAUUGUGUGGCAACCCUUCCCGCCAAUAUUUUCGAGGAAGAGGACCCAGGGUUUUUCGAGGGUUUCCCUUAGCUCAAACCUCUCCCUGACAGACAUACAUCUAUUAACAUCUAACAAUUCAGACAAAUUAGCGGGCAUGGCCAUCAAGAAAGUUAAAAUAAAUAAAUCAAAUGCACUAACUCUGAUAAUCACACAUUAAACCCUAAAUAACAUCUUAUCGUUUUCACUAGGGACGAUCAGAGUAUGGUGUCCCUGCUAGCUAGGGAUGACAUGAUCUCUUCUUUUGUUACCCCACAAAAUGUGUUGAUCAUUUCACUCCCUCCCGCCCAACUGUACAACCUUUUUCUAGACAUAUUGAUACACGAAUCAACAUUAAGGCUAACAACGAUAGGACCGUAUAGACGCCACUACAUAUGACAACCAUAUAUAUUGCACCGUGAAUAGUGAAGAAACAUGUGUUGUAAUAGGACGUAGGUAGAGUACACUCAGGCAUGAACUGCCGCAGUCCACUCUUCCUCACUCAGGGCUGGUGUGCCUGCAUGGCCGGCUGCAGUGAGUGCAUGCAUGGCUGAUUGCAUAGUCAUUUAGCCAAUACUACAUAAAUACAAUGAUAGUAAAUCGUGCCCCUGGGUCAAUAGAGUAUUACCGCUUCACUUGUUAAAUAAGAGAAGUGAUUUUUCACUGCCAUUAUCAUACCACUACUAGAAAAAGGCCUACUAAUGGCGCACCAGUUUUGCCUACUAAUGGCGCACUCUGUAGUGAUGCGCCAUUAGUAUGAAUAUUAGAUUUUUUUUUACUUUUCUGAUUUUUGCACAGGUUACAAAAUAUAUUAGCACACAGCAACAACAGAUUCACCGAAUACAAUAGAAGAUUAGUCUCCGAAUACAAUUCAUCAUAUUAGUCUCCGAAUUCAAAAGACUGAACAAAGAUAAAACAUUACAAGUCCCGAGACCGCGAGUAUCGAGUUUGUCUUCACAUUACAAGUCGAUAUCGAUCAUCUAAACUACCAUCACAUAGAAGAGAGCUGCGGUCAUCACGAUGAGCAUCAUCGCGAUGAAACUGGUCUUCAUCCGGUUCCUCCAACGCUCCCUCCUCUCUCCCGCUAGACAGCGGGCGUAUCUAGAUUCCGCCUCCGCCCUAGUGGUGUACCCUUUGUAACUGUUACCGUUGAAACGGUGAACCUGUCUCCGACACUCCUCCCAGUCGUCGUAGACUCCGGGAACCUUACCCUUGUACACGACAUACGACAACAUCUCUAUGCACAAGCCAAACAACAGACAAUACAUACAUAAGCAAUAUAUAAGUAUGCAACAAAAUGAUCGGAAGAGAAAAGUAAGACAUUAAUAGCACGAUUCAUGGUCCUACUAAUAAAUAGCAUCGAUUACAUCUAAGUUGAACGACUGUCCAAACCAAAGAGACCUACAAUUCAUUAAAGUUUAAUUACAACAUGAGCCAAUCAAUGUUUCAGAACUACACAUCACUACUUUCGACUCGACUCAUGGACAGGAGCGUGGAUGAAGCCGCCGUCUAUCGUGAUGGUCAUGAAAUCGCGGGCGUUGUCAGCCUGCAUUUGUAGCAUUCCGUCUAUCUCAAUGUUGAACGGUUGAUAUCUGAGGAAGAACUGCCCCGAGGUAUGAAGGACAUCUUGAUGGAUGAUGUCCGCAAACUCCGACUGGAUGCGAAAAAAAUUCUUGUCUGAUGUCCGCGUCCUGGAUUGCCGACAAGCUCGCGGCCCAAUCUUUGAGAUUAUUUGGUAGCAGAAGGUGAUGAUGGUCCCUAAUGAUCGCCCACAUGUGAUGGAAGGCGUAGUAGGCAUCCUUCUGACCGCCAGGCGGCUGCUUGACGCAGCAGAACAUCGUAUUGUGGGCGAACACGUGCUUGCCGUACUUACGAACUGCCCUGAUGAAGGUGCCUCCAGAUUUGGCGUAGCCGGGGAGAACAUCAUCAAGAACUUUCUUGAUAUUUGUGUAGUCUAUCUUGGAGUUACGGUUCGGGUCGAAAUACGUGGCCAUGGAAUAUUUCGGGCUUAAGAGGAUGAGUGUGCAAUGUGUGUCACUGCACAGAACACGGAAUGUUAGAAAAGAAAAGAACGAUCAAAAUCUAAGAAAUCAUAUGUUACGGGGCGGUUAAGGGAUGACUUACUCGGGAAAGUAAGCCACAAGGAAGUUAUCCUUAUCUGGGUUUGCCAGAAUAACGUCUUCGAGGUGUGAACUCGCGACUUGGCGGUCCCCAGCGCUGCUCAAGAGCUUGGCACGCAUGUAGAAGGGGUCGACGAUCACGAUGUCCGGGGUCUUGUCUCUAAUGAUCCGCAUCUCCAUACUCAGCGAAAACAGCCGAACGAAGGUGUAGUGCAGUGGAUGAAGGUUGAACAUAGCAAAGAUGUCAUCAAACCGCAGGACGAUUGUACCCCCAAUGGCGCCAUCCACAAAGCCCUUGCCCUCUAGCACCUUGGCCACGAAAACCGGGUAUGCUACAUCAUUCUCUCUGAGACGCCGCUUCUCCAAAGAAAAAACACUGUCGUGCAGACUCCGCAUAGCACCGGUUGCAGCAUUGAGCAUAUUUGUCGGUAGCAUCGCCCUACCCGCCACAUGCACCCUCCUCGAGAUAUCCUUAGGUGAAGGUGGCCCGUCCUGAGCACGGAUCGUACUCGGUGCCGGCUGGCUCGCACCGGCGGCCUUUUUAGUCGGCCGUUUCCGGCCCUUCUUCUUGAUCUGCUGUAAUGGGACCAAGUUCUGCUCACAGACCGCCUUCUUGAGCGUGUUGGGGCUGAUAAUAUUUGGCACCUCCGCUAUCUGAGGCUCGGUGAAGGCGGCAGCUGGAGGCGUCUCCUGAGAACUGAACGCCAGACGACGCCUGUUGCAAUUGGGUUUCUCCGCCGUACCAGCUAGAUCGCGGUCGUCUUGUUUGGGUUCUUGAGAAGGAGGCCCGCAGAACUCGUCACCGUACCCAUGUUCGACAAAGUACUUAUCGACGUUGGUAAAUGUACCAUCGUCGUUGUCGUCGUCGUCCGGAUCCUGUGCCAUAGGGAUGUCCGACAUGUCCGGUAGCGUUGCGGCGCUCUUGCCAUGGCUUGGCGCCGGCACGACUGGCGGUCUUGUCUGUGGGGUGGUGUCCCCCGCCCCCAAACGAAUGUGGCUCUUCGGCCAAAGCAGGGGCCAGCUUACGCAGGCGCUGAGGGUCAUCUCAUCUUCUUCGUCGGCCCCAGCGGGUCAAAUCAGAGGUAACAGCUCGUCGCAGCCUGGCAGCACCCGAACCACUUCAACCCUAUAUAUUGUGGGUGGCAUCGGAUUACCGUGGAACACGGGGUUGCCCGGUUGAAUGAUUCUGCCCUUGGCGACAUCGACCAACUCGCCGCCCACGAAGUGUAGGAGAGUGCAAGGAACGUCGGCGGCGCCCUGCGAAAACAUGUAGGGCGUCAGGGAUGCCCAGUCAAAGGCAAGGAGAUGAAGUCCUCGACCGAGAGGCUUAGUUACCGUGAUGUCGUCGAGCUCGGCUAAUGUCGAGGCACCGCCAACGGCGGGCGUGCAACUGACGGAGGGGGCGCUUGCUGGCGAGGUGCCUGCCGGCGUACACCUGGGUGCAUUAAGCUCCAAUGCCGGCGUCGGAGAUACCAAUACUGCCGCCGCCGGAGACACCAAUGGCGCCGCCACCGUAGACACCAAUACCACCGCCGCCGGAGACACCAAUGGCGCCGCCUGCGUGUUGUGCGAGUUGCUGGCCAUGAAGCUAGAAAUCGGGGGCGGCCCCUGUUGGCCACCCGCAAUCCACGUCGUUAUCCCAUGAAUCAAGGUAGGCAUAAUGCCGGUGAGCGUUGAUCCCAGUUGUUGUUGCACUUGCUUUUGGACCAUCUUCGGAAUCCGCGCCACUUGCGCCUUGAGUGCUUCAACCUCGCGCGACUGGCUUUUCGAGCUGGUCUUUUUCUCCUUUCGCCCACCAGCGACAUAGUAUGACGACCAUUUUGUGGACAAGCCUUUGCCGGCCACAUGACCAGCUAACGUCGGCUUAUUGAGCUUAUCCCUGUUUUUCAUUACGUUCAACGCCCUAUUCAAAGGGGUGUCGAAAGGGGAGCUCUGAGACGACCCCGUGCUAUUGCUUUCUUUGUCCCGCGGAAGGAACGUGAACCAUUUAGAAAUACUGGGGAUUAAUUAGAAUGCAACCAUAUGGAGCUAAUUACGCGGGGGUGUAUUCCUUACCAGAACAAGCUCAAGCUCCUUGGUCUUCGGAUCCGUGGUAAGCUCCUUUGUUACCGGGUCCUCCUUGUACCGGGCCCUGAGAAAGUUCCUGGUCUGCUUGUCACUGUAUUUCUCGAAGCGGGGCGGUAGGCCUUGCUCGGCACGCUCCGCGUCCUCCUUGUCUCAUACAGGCUCCGCCACUCUGUAACUGCCGGGACCGAGUUGGUGGACCCCUAUGUUCAACUGCCGCAUUUCUUUCCCCCACUGACUUGAUUUGGAGGCUGCGGGGCUCUCGCACUUGAUCUUGAACUCCUUGUAGUCAUCUUCGCUCAUCAAAGGAUAUUUCGCCUUGAUCUUCUCAUAACUAUCACCUUUGUCAAUCAUUGCCUUCAUCGUGCUUUUCCAAGUAGACAGGGUCGUGCUCAUCGUCGUGAGAGCGGCACCGUUCACUUUAUUACCCGAGAGGCGUGUGUUUGCGAACUCAGCGGGGAACUUGUAUCGUUCGUGCAGCUUCGUGAAGAGGAGGCUGCGCGAAUUCCCUCAGUCCUUAUGCCUUAGGUUCUCGGUGUUGAUCGAGGCGGUGCUCCGGAGAAUGCACCCGAGCUGAAUCGAGUACCCCUUGACUACGUGUUUGGGCGCCGUCGGAUGCCCGUCGGAGUUCACUUCAGUAAAUUCCUCCCUGACGGUGCUGAGCACGUUUGGGCGCCGGUCCUUCCGUUGCCUCUUCGGUUGGCUGCCAUCUGUGCGUGCGCCUCCAUCAUCAGUGGUGGCAUCCGCGGCGCCAUCAUCAGUGGUGUCAUCCCCGACGCCACUAGGGGUUGUGUAGUUAGGAUCGGUGUCUUCCGCGGCGUCCUCAUAGCGGUGAGGUUCUUCCUCCAACUCCUGGGACAGCUCCCAGAAUUGCUUGCCGCCCAAACCGCCGGCCUCAUCAUUGUGGGCCAUGUUUCGCUCUAAAUAGGAAAAAAGUUUGGUCAAAAAGUUGGUUAUUGUCAAGGAACAAGAUCAUGGUCUCAUCAUUUAGGGUUUGUCGACACCGAGGCAUCCUAAAAGCUAAGCUUUUAUCAUUUAGGGUUUGUCGACACCGAGGCUCCCUAAAAGCCUAAACGUACAUCAUUUAGGUUCUCAUCGACACCGAGGCACCCUAUAGAAGCCAAGUUAAGUUUUCAUCAUUUAGGGUUUAUCGAUGCCGAGGAACCCUAGGUUGGGCCUAAUCACUUGGCACUAAUCACUUGGCUCUAUUGCCACCUAUGUUGGGUUUAUCAUCUAGGGUUUAUCGAUGCUAAGGAGAAUUCUAAGUUGGGCCUAAUCACUUGGCUCUAUUGCCACCUAUGGUUUAAUGCAACAAGAAUGGCGGGGCAGUUGAUCCUACUUAACUAAGUACCAAGAUACCCCGACCCAUGCAUUAGUCGCAAGUACCCCAUAUGUCCUAUUUUUAGCAAAGUCAUGCUAAAAUUCACAGAAAAUUUCAGCACGACCUUUGCUGAAAAUAGGACAUAUGGAGUACCCGAAUUUGCCGGAACGGAAGUUAAUCGACAUUCCGGCAAACUCAAGGGCCUCUCGGGGUACCUGCAAUAUCAUUAUCCCUGCGUAAUGAAGUCGCCAAUGGGUCAUUUCAGAAGAUCACAAGUAGCAUAUCAUCACAAGUACAACAUCAUCUAUAGCUUUAUAUUAACAAAGCAUAAGCACAUAUACAAAAGACCACUUAUGCCAACAGUAUGGUAUAUAUCAGAUUCAGAGUUAGAAACAGGAAAAACCGGUGCUUCAAAGCCUACUGGACACAAUUUACAUCUAUCAGUACGGGAUGUCCUGACUAAUUUCAAGUGUUCACAGGUGAACUUGUACCAUGGAUGAGCCUAGUGCUUCAUUAGUCAACUGAACAGAGAUAACAGGGCAUAACACCAUACAUAAAGUGAUGAGCAUACAUACUACUGUCCAAGCAAAUUAACUGAAUAGUAUUGUGUCAAGUUCAGUUUAAAAAUCCAGUUACUGCUUGAGUGAUUUGACACCAAAAAUUACUCCCAAAAAUUACAAUGACUGUAUAUAUUCACUGUACAGGCUGUCAAGUUCUAUUUCAGCUCAAGUUGCAUUACAACACAAACACUGUAAUUCAUCUGCUCACAGAAAAAUUAAUAAUCAAAAUCAAAUUACAAUAGGGGUCCCAGGUUUGACCCCAUGAUAUGUGCUAUCCUGGGAUUAUUCCUCUUCUGAACAAACCAUCAUGCAUCAUUUUCUAACCAAGGCAUAGCUCAGGAAAACCACUUGCUUUGACCAGAACUAGCUGAUUACCCCAAAUCUCAUGGUAAAAUUAGCAAGGCAAAGCAUUUCUCUGACAUGACCAUAGCAAGAAUGACACACUAUAUAUAAUCUGGUGAGAUAGCAGCAGCAAUCUCAAAAAAAGCAGAGACAUCAUACAUACCACCUGAGCAUCGCCCACAGACAUCCAGGCACAUCACCCACUAUUGUUGCCUGUAAAAGGCCUAAUAUCCACUAGUAUUGCCUAUUGAUCAUAUACUACCUACUCAUAUUUUAUUCAGUCAUUUUACCAGUUGUUUAACCACAGAUUAGGGUCUGUCUAGGAGGUUAGUCAAUGUAAAAAUUGAAAAGCUAGCUAGCAGUACAGUAAGCAGCAGCAGUAUUAGUGUAGCAGCAGGGCAAGAGCUUCAGCAGAAGCAGCUCAGGCAAGCGCAGGGGCGCGCGCGGGACGACAAGUAGGGCCGGCAUGGCUAGGUGCGUGCGCGGGUGUGCAAGGCAGCGAACGGCCGCCAGAGGCAGCAGCGGCAGCAGGACACCGCGGGAGGCCCGGAGCUGUGGCGGACGCGACUGCUCACGCGCGAGGCACCGCAGUAGUAGCGCGUAGCAGCAAGCGGUCGGCGAAGAGAGGGGAGGGAGGGAAUGGGGAAUGGUGGAGAGAGGGAGAAAGGAGGAAGGAGGAGAGGUACCUGGUCGCCGGAGGGGUCAGGGUCGGCAAAGGGGUCGGGGUCGGGGUCCGAGCUCGUCUGGGUCCUUGCUCGCCGCGGUCAAAGGAGAACAGGGGCCGGUGGCGGAGGACGGCAGGAGCAGGCGGGUGGGUGCGUCGGGGCCGCGCUCGCUAGCUGCUGCAGGGGNNNNNNNNNNNNNNNNNNNNNNNNNNNNNNNNNNNNNNNNNNNNNNNNNNNNNNNNNNNNNNNNNNNNNNNNNNNNNNNNNNNNNNNNNNNNNNNNNNNNNNNNNNNNNNNNNNNNNNNNNNNNNNNNNNNNNNNNNNNNNNNNNNNNNNNNNNNNNNNNNNNNNNNNNNNNNNNNNNNNNNNNNNNNNNNNNNNNNNNNNNNNNNNNNNNNNNNNNNNNNNNNNNNNNNNNNNNNNNNNNNNNNNNNNNNNNNNNNNNNNNNNNNNNNNNNNNNNNNNNNNNNNNNNNNNNNNNNNNNNNNNNNNNNNNNNNNNNNNNNNNNNNNNNNNNNNNNNNNNNNNNNNNNNNNNNNNNNNNNNNNNNNNNNNNNNNNNNNNNNNNNNNNNNNNNNNNNNNNNNNNNNNNNNNNNNNNNNNNNNNNNNNNNNNNNNNNNNNNNNNNNNNNNNNNNNNNNNNNNNNNNNNNNNNNNNNNNNNNNNNNNNNNNNNNNNNNNNNNNNNNNNNNNNNNNNNNNNNNNNNNNNNNNNNNNNNNNNNNNNNNNNNNNNNNNNNNNNNNNNNNNNCGGGGGGCGCGGGGGCGGCGGGGGUGGAGUCCCGCGGGGGUCGGGGCGGCAGCGUCGGGGCAGCGCAAGACCACGAUGGCGGUGGCGGCGCCGACAGCGUGCAGGCGCGGCGGACGGAGGGGGCGGAGCAAGGGGGCGGCGGCGUACGUUUGGGGUCGAGUGGGGGAUCUGGCGAGGGAGGGAGGCCACAGUGCGAGGGGAAUAGGUGGAGUGGGGGAGGGUUAGCAAUGUCGCACCUCCCCCUAGUGCGCCAUAAGUACGAUGAUUCUAAUGGCGCACCUCCCCUGGUGCGCCAUUAGAAUUUUAUUUUAAUUACUAGCCCGACUGGUCAGGUUAUAUUCCACCUAACCCUAUCUCCAUCAGAACACGCCCACUAGCUUGAUUGGUCAGCACGUAGCACACACACUAGGAGGUCCUAGGUUCGAUUCCCAGGCUCCCCAAUUUUUGUUUUUAAAAUGCUGUUUGAUAUUUAUUUGUGUUUAAAUAUGUUCAAACUUGUUUAAAUCAUAACAGUAAUAUUUUUUAUAAAAAAGUAAUAAUUUUUUAAAUAAUAUCAUCAAAUUUGUUAUUUGAAAAUAUUUAUGAAUAUGAAAAAAUAUAAUCAAAUUUGUUUUUUUUUGCAAUUUUAGUUGCAUUCAUUUGUGACGGUGGAGCGGGCCGGGGAGGGCGCGGUGGGUCGUCGGCGACGGUGGAGUGGGGGAGGGUGCGGGCCGGGGGUCGGCGGCGGCGACCGGUGGAGCGGGGGAGGGUGCGGUGGGUCGUCGGCGACGGUGGAGUGGGGGAGGGUGCGGGGGGUCGGCGGCGGCGGCCGGUGGAGCGGGGGGUGCUCGGCGGUGAGGGGGACCGGAUCUGGCGAGGUGGGAUAGCAAUCGAGAUGAGGUGAGGAGGAGGAGGCAACCGACAAGCUCAGAGAAGGAGGUGAGGGGAAUGAAGUGGGGAAAGUGAGUGUGUAGGUGUGGCUGUCCAAAAAUAUCUAGCUGGUCCUAGGUUACUAAUGGCGCACCACAGAGACAUGCGCCAUUAGUAACCCAACAUUACUAAUGGCGCACCACACAGACAUGCGCCAUUAGUAGUUUUGCAAAAAAGUAAAAAAUAAUAAUUUCUAUACUAAUGACGCAUGGCGCACUAUGCAAUGGUGCGCCAUUAGUAGUUUUGCAAAAAAGUAAAAAAAAAUACAGUAGUGGCGCACUCUACGGCUGGUGCGCCAUUAGUAGUUCUAACUACUAAUGGCGCACUCUGCCUGGAUGCGCCAUUAGUAUGUUUGAAAAAAUGAAAAAAAAUAUUUUGUUACUAGUGGCGCACCGUGUGCCUGGUCCUAGGUUCGAUUCCCAGGCUCCCCAAUUUUUGUUUUUAAAAUGCUGUUUGAUAUUUAUUUGUGUUUAAAUAUGUUCAAACUUGUUUAAAUCAUAACAGUAAUAUUUUUUAUAAAAAAGUAAUAAUUUUUUAAAUAAUAUCAUCAAAUUUGUUAUUUGAAAAUAUUUAUGAAUAUGAAAAAAUAUAAUCAAAUUUGUUUUUUUUGCAAUUUUAGUUGCAUUCAUUUGUGACGGUGGAGCGGGCCGGGGAGGGCGCGGUGGGUCGUCGGCGACGAUGGAGUGGGGAAGGGUGCGGGCCGGGGGUCGGCGGCGGCGACCGAUGGAGCGGGGGAGGGUGCGGUGGGUCGUCGGCGACGGUGGAGUGGGGGAGGGUGCGGGGGGUCGGCGGCGGCGGCCGGUGGAGCGGGGGGUGCUCGGCGGCGAGGGGGACCGGAUCUGGCGAGGUGGGAUAGCAAUCGAGAUGAGGUGAGGAGGAGGAGGCAACCGACAAGCUCAGAGAAGGAGGUGAGGGGAAUGAAGUGGGGAAAGUGAGUGUGUAGGUGUGGCUGUCCAAAAAUAUCUAGCUGGUCCUAGGUUACUAAUGGCGCACCACAGAGACAUGCGCCAUUAGUAACCCAACAUUACUAAUGGCGCACCACACAGACAUGCGCCAUUAGUAGUUUUGCAAAAAAGUAAAAAAUAAUAAUUUCUAUACUAAUGACGCAUGGCGCACUAUGCAAUGGUGCGCCAUUAGUAGUUUUGCAAAAAAGUAAAAAAAAUACAGUAGUGGCGCACUCUACGGCUGGUGCGCCAUUAGUAGUUCUGGCGCACUCUGCCUGGAUGCGCCAUUAGUAUGUUUGAAAAAAUGAAAAAGAUAUUUUGUUACUAGUGGCGCACCGUGUGCCUGGUGCGCCAUUAGUGUCUUCCACACUAAUGGCGCACCGACAGACGAUGCGCCAUUAGUAUAUAGUAAUGGCGCACCACAUGUCUGGUGCGCCAUUAGUGUCAAUUUCAUCUAUAGCGCUUUUCGUAGUAGUGUACGGUGUCAUGCUUCACGUGCCAAAGUGAGAUGCUGAGUGGGUGGACUCGUACUUCAAGGAAGCGCAACAUCCAGUGGCUAGCUAGACGUAUAGAGCAUCUCCAGCCGCUGCUCCCCAGGAGGCAUAAAAAUCGCCAUCUGGAGAUGAGCCGGCGGUAGAAUCGGCACUGGGGCGGUUGGGCAUCCAGCCGUCGUCUCCAGGCGCGGUUAUCGUGCCAUUUAUGGCCGCUUUUCGGCCCAGAUAAGUAGGAAAAUGGUCUGAUAUCGGCGAGAAACGGCCCAUAUUCGGCGUGGUUCGGUGUUGAAUUUUCAAUAUAAACAAUUUUUUUAUCACAUAGUUCAUCACAGAAAAUCAAAUAGUUUAACAAAAUAGUGCAACAACAAAUAGUUCAAUACAAAUUAUAUAAUUCAACAAAUAAAAACUCAUAUUUCAUCACACGUCGAGCCCGGCGUCGCCCUUGAUCCUCCAUAGAUGCUCCACCAGAUCCUGCUGCAGUUGAUGAUGCGCCUGUGGGUUUCGGAUCUCCUGACGCAUACUGCGGUAGGCAGUUCAGGUUGCCGGUAGCUGGUGAUCAACUUCGGUUAGAGGACCCUGCCUGUAGUAUGGUUCAGUGUUAAACACUGGCUUUUCCUGCUCGCUCUCGAUGAUCAUGUUGUGCAAGAUGACACAACAAGUCAUGAUCUCUCACAUUUGAUCUUUCGACCAGGUCUGAGCAGGGUACCGGACAACAGCAAAUCGAGAUUGAAGCAUACCAAAUGCCCGCUCGACAUCCUUCCUGCAAGCCUCCUGCACCUUGGCAAAGUGAGACUUCUUGCCUCCUAGCACAACGUUUGAGAUAGAUGUCAUCAGCUAGGUAGUACCCCUGGUUGUAGUGCCGCCCAUUGACCUCGAAGUUCACCGGAGGAGAAUGACCUUCAACAAGCUUGGCAAAGACAGGGGAGCACUGCAGCACGUUGAUGUCAUUGUGAGUUCCUGGCAUACCAAAGAAGGAGUGCCUAAUUCAGAGGUCCUGUGUGGCCACCGCCUAAAGUACCACACUGCAACCGCCUUUGGCGCCUUUGUACAUCCCCUGCCAAGCAAAUGGGUACUUCUUUCAUUUCCAAUGCAUGUAGUCGAUGCUUCCAAGCAUCCUAGAAAAUCCUCUUGCUGCAUUCUGUGCUAGCUAGGAUCCGAGUAGUGUCUUCCGCAUUGGGUGUUCGCAAGUAUUGCGGUCCAAACACUACCACCACUGCCCGACAGAAUUUGUAGAAACACUCAAUGGUGGUGGACUCGGCCAUGCGCCCAUAGUCGUCGAGUGAAUCACCGGGAGCUCGAUAUGCAAGCAUCCUCGUCGUUGUCGUGCACUUCUGGAUUGAGGUGAAUCCAAGUUUGCCGGUGCAAUCCUUCUUGCACUUGAAGUAGCUGUCGAACUUCCGAAUGGAAUUUACAAUCCCGAGGAAAAGCUUUUGGCUCAUCCGAUAACGGCGCCGAAAUGUUUUGUCGCCGUGCAAUGGAGCGUCGGCGAAGUAGUCGGAGUAGAGCAUGCAGUAGCCUUCGAGAUGAUGCCAGUUCUUUGCUUUCAUCCGCCCCGGCGCCGAGCCACCUCGCCGCGGCUUUUCAUUGCUCGCCAACAGGCCGGCGAGGGCGGCGAGGACCAUGAGAUGUUCCUCUUCCUGGAUGCCGGCCUCGGCUUCCCCCUCCAGCAGCGCGGCGAGCGCUUCCUCGUCGUCCGAGUCCAUUGCCGAGGCAGGCAAAUUGCCGAACACCUUGCGGGCGCGGUGGGCGCGCACUCGCCGCUACACUGCCCCUCCGCGGCCGGAAUGCCAGAAAAAUCGCCCAGUCGAUGGUGGAGAGGCUGCCUUGGCGAAACCUCUGCUCUUUUUCCGGCGGGAAAUGGGCUAUCUAGCGGUGGUGGGUGGUGGGCAGCGCCGGGAUCAGUCGGUUGGCGGCCGAGCGCGCGGGGGGUGGGAGACGAAUCUGGAAAAUAGACUUGACUUUUUGCCUGACAGUGUGGGCCAGACGUGCUUUUCCCUUGCGCCGGAACCCCCGAGUGCCCCCCAGUGCGUCGGGUUCGGCCUGCGAUCACCGGGCCCAAAAACGGGCCGAGCCGGCGGAUUUCGGCGUCCUGGGGGCGCGACUGGGGCGUUUUUUCGGCGCCGACGUGGAAAAAGUCGUCUGGGAGGCUUGUUGGGGGCACGGCUGGAAAUGCUCUUAGAUAUUAUUAGAGGGAUACACGCGCUUGGACACACCGUUUUUCACUUAUUGGAUAAGAUUUUUAUUUUAAUUUGGUUGGCAGGCUGUUAUGUUUGGCUGCCAUGUUUUGGUUUUGCUUGUCUUAGUGAGGCCUUAGUUGUGUUGGAGUUGGCCUCACACCUGCCGCAGAAGCGCUAGCGUUGAAGCCUUCCCUGCCCUCUCAUAGUCGGUGGGCAUCGCUGCAAAAGCCGAGAAGGGCAAGGACCUUGGGCUAUUGCCCAAGCCCACCCAAUAGAGAUAGGAGCCAGAUGGGUGAGGUGCAGUGGCCUUCGUGGUGACCUUAGCCUUCUUGGCCAGCGUGGCCAUGGGGACAGGGCAUGCUGCUGGUGGCCUUCGUGAUGACCUCCUUCAAAUCGCUAGCCAUUGGGUCGUUGUGCUUGGAUGGGCAGAUGGCGCCGAGAUUUGGCUGGAAGCACAAGAAAGUAAUGGCUGGUGGUUGGACCUCUGCUCAAGGCGACGCUAAGAACAUGGGAAAGUGACAUCACCACAUCAACCGAAAAUGCAACUUCACACCUAAACGGACAUCCCCUGUCUAUAUGGGCUGUCGAUUGCUCUAAGAUUCUUGAUUUGUUUUGGCAAUACUAGCAAAAGAGCCCGUGCGUUGCAACGGGAGAGAAAAUAACACAUGCUUUUAACCCAAUAACCAUGACUCAAGACCCUAAUUGGUCCACGUCCUUUACGGUGGCCUCGGCACUCACACAACGAAAACACAUUUGAAUGUGGUCAGUCCUAAGACGUCCUUUCUCUCUCAAAAAGAUGAGAAAUAUGUUGUUUUCCCCCGCGAGGUUUCUCAGAGGUGUGCAUGCGUGGUUAUUGAUGUUUCCUUUCCUCUCAAUAUGGUUUUAAUAGGUGUUUAUUUGUAAUUUGGAUCGCCGCCAGUACGAACGAAAAACGGACUGUGCACUAUAUAUUAAGUUUGCAUCAAAAAUAAUAUUUUAGAAAUAUUUAAUAGCUAACAAUAAUAUCAUAUUUAGAUUGUACAUAUUUUUCUAAUCAAAUUUCAUAUAUAACAUGUUAAAACCGGAGUUAUGAUUUAAAAUAUAUGAAUAAUUUUGUUGCUGCUGAUUGAUUAACCAAAAAGUCAGAGAUUUUCUGAGAAAAUGCAAAAAAAGAGUUCGACUAUGAUUUAAACAUGCACUGGGGAUUAAUUUACAGAAAACAAUGGGGAUUUUUUUAAAAUGGCAAGACGGUGAACCGACAAAAGCACUCCGUGCUUUAGAGGAUGUACUGUCGACAACUCAGUUUAGAUAAACUGAUUUCAUAUACUUGGAUCACAACCCUGAAUGUUUCCCCUCGAAACUGUAAGCAUAAAACCUGAUCCAAGUGCACCACAAAAUUUGCUCAUUUUCUCAACAUCAAGCUAAAAUUUCAGAAUCAAAUUGCCAAAAAAUAUUUCAGAACUGAAAACACCCCGAGUACAAUCGGAUAUAGAUAUAUGUCCACGGUCCAACACUAAUGAUCCAACUCAAUUUAAGGUGUAUUUGAAUUAGUGAGCGCUGCUUGAGGAUGCAACUCAAACUAAGGCACAAUAUAUAUUUGGAACUUACACCAAGCUGAGCUUGACCUUGUACAAUGAACUGUCCUGAAACCCACGCGCGCGCACACUGCGCCAGGAAGUUCUCCAUUGUCCCCGCUCGCAUACUGUGUUAGGAAGUUCUCCAUCGUCCAUGGCCCCUGGGCGGUUGUAGAACAACUCCGCCAUCACAUCACGCAACUGGCUGCAAUCAGAAGAACGGCGAGGGUCUCCUCAUCGUUGAUCUCUCUGUAUCCACCAGCCGCACCAACAGGUGAGCGGGCACAUGAUACCCUGCUCCCAGAUUAGCUUAAGCCAGAGAAACCAAAGCUGGGUUAGUAAGUUCGGAGUAAAAAUAGAAGAACAGAUAAGUGAUGCAGUGGACAGCUAAUUUUCCGACAUAGUAACAUCACAGCAAAAACUGUGGGUAUUACCUAGCACAAAUUGCAAUACCAGAAGGAAACAUCUCAGAUAGACCAAUAAAAUUUGGAUAACAAUGUGCACUCAGUUGCACAUUAAGUUGCUCAUGACAUAAAUGUCUGGAAAACAAACUUCCCGCCUCAGAGAGAAAAGCAAAUACGUAGAAAUACUUCGGGUUUCAUCAUUUCAUAAAAAGAAGAUUAUUGAAUCAUAGGUACUGGGGUAUGGUUAUCAUAGAAAUGUAUUAGCUUUGACAUCAGGAAGGACUCUGCUACUAACAGUUCAUUAAUCCUUAAAACAAUGCUGUAUAUAGUUUCAGUUUCAAAAUGUGACUCGUUCCCUGCAAAGAACUCAUGCACGCAUCCAUCCAGUUCAAUGAAAGAGCUACCAGGCUGCUUGGUCUUUCUGUUACUGUAUAUUCCUGUCCUCACUUUAUUUGCAUCAACACACCUUGAUGUGGUAGCAUAGACAGUUGUUUGGCUCCAAUACUUGGAUCCUUUCUACUACAUAUACUCUGCAAGUCCCACUUCUCCGCAAGCUCUGCAGGCAAACAACAACGACCGCCACAUUACCACAUCAGGAGCGAUGGGCAUAGGCCGACAGGCACGGCGUCGUCACCCAAAUAGCAGGAAGACGCAACCUUGUAUCGCAGGAUGGCCUUCAUGGAGAACUGACCCAAAGAUGAUGUUGUAGAUCUUGUGAAUGGGCGCCCACCACAAGUCCAGCACUCCACCAUCCGCAGCCGCCGUGAGCCCGCCAGCACUGGCCACAUGCCCUACCGUAAAACGCUGCACACUACUGCCUGCAACGCUGCUAGACCCAUAGCCUGCAGGCCACCAUCAUAGUCGCCACUAACCCGGGUCUUGACUUUGACCCUGCCCUUUUAAUCAAGUUCAUAGUUCCCAGAUCUUUGGGUCUGAAUGUGAUGGCAAUCUGCAUCAUGGUGAACAUAAUGACUUUGACCCUGCCCUGCUUGUUGCUUUUAGUGAACUCGGUGUGCUUGGCAUUGGCGAUGUAAAUACCGUCGAGCCACGUCUCAUACUGGAAACAUAAUGGGCCCCACAUUCAUUUUUAUCUCGAAAUAGAUAUAUAGAUGCGAAACAAAAUUCGACACUUGGUUGCUCUACUUUUAAAAGAAUCAAUACCAUUGCAAAGCUUGUGACAAAGACUGCAAUAUUCAAGUUGGGGACAUGAAUAAAUUAUUAACCAAUUAGUCCCAGAUCUCAAUGUAAACUGCUGCCUUUAUUUCCAAAAUACCAACUGCAUCUAUUGUGUGCGAUUUAUUCCAAUCAACACAUCAAACUAUCAUCUUAGGUAUAAUCUAGAUGUUACCUUUGACAUGUAGCUGGUCAAUUUGACUUCAACUUGAGAACUCCGAUGAGUAUUUUUCUCAGUGGAUGCCUGCUUCUUUGUUUGGCUAUGCACGCACACAUCAGCCUGAACCAGCACCGCUAGGAGCCAGCUCCAGCUCAACCCGCACCGCACUAAUGCAAUCCCAGCAAAGGCCUCCCUCCUCCCCCAACAUCGGCUCCCAUAGCUGGCCCUAUAACUCACCGUUGCGCUAGCCGAGUUGUGGUCGAGCUCUCCAUGGGCUCCGGGGUUGUGGGACUCCGGAGGCGGCUGGCGUGUUGUGGGACUCCGUGAUGCCGUCCAUGGCCACAACAGCGGCUACCUCCAGUAUCGCGAGAUCCACGACUACCCAGGAAGGAGAGGGGCGGCAUGUGCCAGCACAACGUCGAGUUUAAUGGCAGGGUGGUCCGGCCAUGGACACGGACCUGUUGCUCCCCACCAUCGCGCCGCAGUCCGUCCACCCGCUGCCAGAGCACACGCCGGUCUCCAACUGCGACGCGCCACCCCCGUCCUGUUGCCCGUCCCUGGCAUCCUCCUAGAAGGAAUGCCUCAUCUUCAGGCCCCACCACCCACCGCCGUGGCCCUCGCCUCCUCCCCAGCCGCCGCCGCACCACUACUGCCGUGAUUUCGAUCCAAAUCAGAGACACGGGAGCAAAGGGAGGCGCGCGCGAACGGUGGUGGUGGCGGUGGCAAAGGGCGGCGGCGCGGGCGGCGGCCGAGCGGAAGGCUGAGUUUGGUGGGCUGAGGCCCAGACGGAUCAGGGAGAAGUCCAACUGACUUAAAACAACUUCGACCUACCGAAAUUUUGACGAUGAAACUAUAGACGGUUCCCCGAAUUAGUACCACCUUGCGUAUAUGUUUUAAAUUCAAAUUGAAAGCGUAAAUUCACAGAAAGAAAGCGUAUUGUGACGGUGAACCCAUGGAGUCAAUCCAUGCUUUAUUAUUAGGGAUAUAUAUAUAGCAAAAGAGCCCGUGCGUUGCAACGGGAGAACAAAAUCCUCGUAUGCACCAAGCGACUCAUUCGUGUUGCCACUUAUAUCUAUCUCCCAUCUUCUCCUUCUGAUCUUAUUGUGGUUUGUAGUUUAAUAUGCCACUGUCCUUUAAUUUCGCCCCCUCUCUUUCGUUUCUCCAUCAGGAUAUUCACCUUCUGAUGAUACCUAGGUUUACCAUUUAUGCCACUGUCCUUUAAUUUUGUCCUUCAAAUUUUUAUACAUUGUACAUUUGACUACCUAGGAAGAUCCUGCUAGGGAUACACCUCAGGAGAUGAAACAUAGCUUCCACAUAUUUGAUAAUUUCAAAGUUGAUAAUGACCGUUCGUCCUCAGUGAACAUGUAUGUCUAAGUUUAGUAGUAACGAAAAUGUACCAAAUCAAACCAUGCAAGUCACACACCAUAUAUAACAGUAAUAUUUCUAAGCGCAUCAAGCAAAUUACUUUGUUAAACAGAGUAACCACACAGGCAAAUAUAUAAAAUCACGAAGAUGCACAUUAUUACAAUAAUUCUAUUGUGGUGAAAUUAAUAACAAAAAAUGAUUGUGGAAUUGGGAGGAGAUGAAUAAGAUAAGAACAGUUUGAUAUUGUGCAUUGUACAUUUCACUGAUUAAGGAGUUACAGGUUCACGAUUCAACUCGAAGGGAGAUCACAGUCAGCCAGAACAGCUAAAGCUCUCUAGUGUUGUUACUUCUCAGUCUACAAUAGAUUUAUUAGGUACACAAAUAUACUCAGAUGCAGCUUGGUCGUUGGAGCCCGGACAAGCUGUAGCAAAGGCCGACAUAGGUGUUUUCUUACAAAUUAACAGGCAACAUACCGAACAUGUAUACAUCUCUGUUGUGUCGCCACCAGUAGCAUCAGCUCUGCAGGUAGAAGCUUAUGGACUGCUGUUGGCGGUGAAGAUUGCAGCUCAACUACAUGUGCAGGAUCUGAAGUUUUGACAGACUCUGCCGUGCUUGCCUCAGCUGUUGUAGAACCUGGUGUUACUAAAGCAGGCCCGUGGGCUAUCCGGCCAAUCUUAGCUGCUAUCCAGACCACGCCUUCAUUUCAUCCAUGCAGAAUAAUCAAAGUGCAAAGGAGUCUGAAUUUCAGGGCACACCAUCAGGCUAGACUCGCUGUCAAAGUGCAAGAUAAACCUGGCAGCUCUACUUGCCUACAUUCAAAUCAAGGUUUAGAUACUAAUCUGGAACGAUGUCCUACCUGUAAUGAGAUAUCAGCAAUGAGUGCUCAGCCACUCGAGCUGCUAUUUGUAAAGUGUGCUUAAUGCCAUAUUAAUAAAAUCCUUCUGUUAAAAAAAUCAAACUUAAUUAGUGUGCCUAACUUUCAGGUUAGUGUGUGGUUACAAAUAUUCCAACUACGUAGCUGACCGUGAGUAUGAUACUCUUUGACUUCUCCAGUAUAGACUAAUUAAUAGUACAAUAAUCUUUGCAUGAUGCAAACGUAUAGAACUCCUUAAUACAAAAAGAUUAGAUAAUCCCUAUUAAUUUACCAUGUUAGCACUUACAAAACCUAUCCUGUAUUGCUUGUCGCUGGCAGCACCGAAUAUGGACAUGCCUGCCGCUCCAGUCGUAAUAAUAUUAGUUGACAGGAGCUUCUAUCAGGUAGUCUAGGCAAUGCAAGAGAAAAAAAUUAAAACACAAUGGAAAGCACAUAACAACUAUUAGUUGGACGGUAUCACAUGCCAAUAUGUCUCCACCAAGUAGAUUGGAUUUCUACAUCCUGCCGCCGGAUCGGUUAAGGGGUGAUGAUGAUUCCAGAUAUUUUUCUUAAUUUCUCUGAUCAAAGUAAUUGUAAUCUCAAGCACAAAUUUACUCGGUGACACAAAACUGACUAAAAGAUCAUUCCUACUUUUUUGUUCGUUUACUGACUUAAGUGUAGCAUCUAUGCAUAUUUCAGACUUGAAUCAAACUGGGAGAAAAAUAACUUAUUUGUCCAUAGGGAGCAAACAGAGAAUUAAACACAGACUGACAAACGUUGUACUAAUAUAAAUUAUAGGUAACGCCUAAUAUAAAAUACAAGCAAUGCCCCAACUUACAGAGAUUGGACACCCAGAUUAAACAGAAAAAAGUGCAUACAACUUUAGUAAACGCCAUGUUACAAAGACUGAUUUUGAUUUGUAAAAAGGGCAAAUCUCCAAGCAAUAUUGAACAACGUGGGCUACUAUGAGUACAGGUUAAUAGAUGUGACACAUUUAGUUAAUGGAACCUGACUACUGGUCCCUUUAAUUCUUUUUACUUAAUUAGCUUGAUUAGCUGAUAGAACACCUUCCUUUUGUUAGCUAUCUAGAAAAAAACACUAAAACUACUUGUGAACCCAGUGCAUCUCAAUCAAGAUACAGGUUAACAUAUGUGAAACAUUUGGUUAAUGGAACCUGACAUCUGGUCCCUUUUAUUUUUGUUACUUGAUUAGCUUGAGCAGCUGACAUGACACCUUUUUGUUUUUCAUGAAUUGCAGAAGCUUAAUUAGUUGAGCUAUCUAGAAAAAAAAUUUAAAACUACUUGAGAAUCCAGUGCAUCUCUAUCAAGAUAAAUCAUACUGUAGGUGUUGACAUCUACGAUCGUUUCCCCAUUCAUACUCUGCAUUUCUGCAACUCCACUUGAAAAGGGCAUGGAGUCAGGAAAGGCUACAAUCUUCUGAUGGAUAUUCAAUCCAAUGGUCAGACUGUGGAUAUAUUAGGGCCGAAGCACCACAGGAUAAUUAGUUGCUAAUUAAAUAUGGUCUGAACCUCAAUUGACACACUUAUUGUUCAAGUUUAAGGACCAACCACAACAUACUAUUAAGCUUGCAAAAUGGUCUUACAUUAUGGGACGGAGGGAGUACACGUGUAAAUUUUAUGAAAGUUAGAAACUCAAAGUCUUUUACACCCUAUUGAUCUACAUCCAAUGAAUUAUGAGGCACUCUUUCCUUAUUAGCUACAUUUCUACAACUGCCAUCAGGGAUGCCAACCAACAGAGAAGCUUCUCAAAUAUUAUUCUGAAUCACUAUAUCUAUGUAACUAAAUAUGAAUCUUUAAGACUUUAGUCAAACAGGGAUCAAGCAGAAAACUGUUCAUGAACUUAUUUGGUCAUGGAUUUGAAUCAAACAGAGAGCAAACAUGGACAGGCAAACAAUCGAGUAAUAUAAUGCACAGGCAACACCCGACUUACAUAGAUUGGAUGCUCAGAUUAAAGAGAAAAACUGCAGGAAACAUUAGUACAUGCCCAGGUUUCACAGAUUGUUUUUGAUUGAAGCAAUAUCCAACAACGUUGGCCUAAUUUGGGAAAAGCUGAUACAUACCACAACGUUGGACUAAUUUGGGAAAAGCUGAUACAUACCUCUGGUGUAGCACGUUCGGAAGGCGGAUGUUCUUCCUCCAGUGAACUUAGCAGAGGCGACAUUGGAUGGCUCGGUGGCGAACUCGGCGGAGGCUGUUGGAAAUAUGCCCUAGAGGCAAUAAUAAAUUGAUUAUUAUUAUAUUUCCUUGUUCAUGAUAAUCGUUUAUUAUCCAUGCUAGAAUUGUAUUGAUAGGAAACUCAGAUACAUGUGUGGAUACAUAGACAACACCAUGUCCCUAGUAAGCCUCUAGUUGACUAGCUCGUUAAUCAAUAGAUGCUUACGGUUUCCUGACCAUGGACAUUGGAUGUCGUUGAUAACAGGAUCACAUCAUUAGGAGAAUGAUGUGAUGGACAAGACCCAAUCCUAAGCCUAGCACAAGAUCAUGUAGUUCGUAUGCUAAAGCUUUUCUAAUGUCAAGUAUCAUUUCCUUAGACCAUGAGAUUGUGCAACUCCCGGAUACCGUAGGAGUGCUUUGGGUGUGCCAAACGUCACAACGUAACUGGGUGGCUAUAAAGGUACACUACGGGUAUCUCUGAAAGUGUCUGUUGGGUUGGCACGAAUCGAGAUUGGGAUUUUGUCACUCCGUGUAAACGGAGAGGUAUCUCUGGGCCCACUCGGUAGGACAUCAUCAUAAUGUGCACAAUGUGACCAAGGGGUUGAUCACGGGAUGAUGUGUUACGAAACGAGUAAAGAGACUUGUCGGUAACGAGAUUGAACAAGGUAUCGGUAUACCGACGAUCGAAUCUCGGGCAAGUACCAUACCGCUAGACAAAGGGAAUUGUAUACGGGAUUGAUUGAGUCCUUGACAUCGUGGUUCAUCCGAUGAGAUCAUCGUGGAACAUGUGGGAGCCAACAUGGGUAUCCAGAUCCCUCUGUUGGUUAUUGACCGGAGAACGUCUCGGUCAUGUCUGCAUGUCUCCCGAACCCGUAGGGUCUACACACUUAAGGUUCGAUGACGCUAGGGUUAUAAAGGAAGUUUGUAUGUGGUUACCGAAUGUUUUUCGGAGUCCCGGAUGAGAUCCCGGACGUCACGAGGAGUUCCGGAAUGGUCCGGAGGUAAAGAUUUAUAUAUAGGAAGUCCUGUUUCGGCCAUCGGGACAAGUUUCGUGGUCAUCGGUAUUGUACCGGGACCACCGGAAGGGUCCUGGGGGCCCACCGGGUGGGGCCACCUGCCUCGGGGGGCCACAUGGGCUGUAGGGGGUGCGCCUUGGCCUACAUGGGCCAAGGGCACCAGCCCCUAGAGGCCCAUGCGCCAAGAUAUAGGAAAAAGGGGAGAGUCCUAAAGGGGGAAGGCACCUCCGAGGUGCCUUGGGGAGGAUGGACUCCUCCCCCCCUCUUAGCCGCACCCUUUCCUUGGAGGAAGGGGCAAGGCUGCGCCUCCCCCCUCUCCCCUGCCCCUAUAUAUAGUGGAGGGGAGGGAGGGCAUCCAUACCUGAGCCCUUGGCGCCUCCCUCCCUCCCGUGACACCUCCUCCUCUCCCGUAGGUGCUUGGCGAAGCCCUGCAGGAUUGUCACGCUCCUCCAUCACCACCACGCCAUUGUGCUGCUGCUGGAUGGAGUCUUCCUCAACCUCUCCCUCUCUCCUUGCUGGAUCAAGGCGUGGGAGACAUCGUCGAGCUGUACGUGUGUUGAACGCGGAGGUGCCGUCCGUUCGGCACUAGGAUCAUCGGUGAUCUGAAUCACGACGAGUACGACUCCAUCAACCCCGUUCACUUGAACGCUUCCGCUUAGCGAUCUACAAGGGUAUGUAGAUGCACUCCCCUUUCUACUCGUUGCUGGUCUCUCUAUAGAUAGAUCUUGGUGUUACGUAGGAAAAUUUUGAAUUUCUGCUACGUUCCCCAACAGUGGUAUCAGAGCUAGGUCUAUUGCGUAGAUUCUUUGCACGAGUAGAACACAAAGUAGUUGUGGGCGUCGAUAUUGUUCAAUAUGCUUGGCGUUACUAGUCUUAUCUUGAUUCGGCGGCAUCGUGGGAUGAAGCGGCUCGGACCAACCUUACAGUACGCUUACGUGAGACCGGUUCCACCGACAAACAUGCACUAGUUGCAUAAGGUGGCUGGCGGGUGUCUAUCUCUCCCACUUUAGUCGGACCAGAUUCGAUGAAAAGGGUCCUUAUGAAGGGUAAAUAGCAAUUGGCAUAUCACGUUGUGGUUCAUGCGUAGGUAAGAAACGUUCUUGCUAGAAACCCAUAGCAGUCACGUAAAACAUGCAAACAACAAUUAGAGGACGUCUAACUUGUUUUUGCAGGGUAUGCUAUGUGAUGUGAUAUGGCCAAAAGGAUGUGAUGAAUGAUAUAUGUGAUGUAUGAGAUUGAUCAUGUUCUUGUAAUAGGAAUCACGACUUGCAUGUCGAUGAGUAUGACAACCGGCAGGAGCCAUAGGAGUUGUCUUUAUUUAUUUGUGACCUGCGUGUCAACUUAAAACGUCAUGUAAUUACUUUACUUUAUUGCUAACCGUUAGCCAAGGUAGUAGAAGUAAUAGUUGGCGAGGCAACUUCAUGAAGACACGAUGAUGGAGAUCAUGAUGAUGGAGAUCAUGGUGUCAUGCCGGUGACGAUGAUGAUCAUGGAGCCCCGAAGAUGGAGAUCAAAAGGAGCAAAGUGAUGAUGGCCAUAUCAUGUCACUAUUUGAUUGCAUGUGAUGUUUAUCAUGUUUAUACAUCUUAUUUGCUUAGAACGACAGUAGUAAAUAAGAUGAUCCCUUACAACAAUUUCAAGAAGUGUUCUCCCCUAACUGUGCACCGUUGCGACAGUUCGCUGUUUCAAAACAUCACGUGAUGAUCGGGUGUUUUAUUCAGACGUUCAAAUACAAUGGGUGUUGACGAGCCUAGCAUGUACAGACAUGGCCUCGGAACACACGCGAAACACUUAGGGUUAACUUGACGAGCCUAGCAUGUACAGACAUGGCCUCGGAACACGGAGACCGAAAGGUCGAGCAUGAGUCGUAUAGAAGAUACGAUCAACAUGAAGAUGUUCACCGAUGAUGACUAGUCCGUCUCACGUGAUGAUCGGACACGGCCUAGUUUGACUCGGAUCAUGUAAUCACUUAGAUGACUAGAGGGAUGUCUAUCUGAGUGGGAGUUCAUAAGAUGAACUUAAUUAUCCUGAACAUAGUCAAAAGGAUUUUGCAAAUUAUGUCGUAGCUCACGCUAUAGUUCUACUGUUUAGAUAUGUUCCUAGAGAAAAAUUAGUUGAAAGUUGAUAGUAGCAAUUAUGCGGACUAGGUCCGUAUACUGAGGAUUGUCCUCAUUGCUUCAUAGAAGGCUUAUGUCCUUAAUGCACCGCUCAGUGUGCUGAACCUCGAACGUUGUCUGUGGUUGUUGCGAACAUCUGACAUACACGUUUUGAUAACUACGUGAUAGUUCAGUUAAACGGUUUAGAGUUGAGGCACCAAAGACGUUUUUGAAACAUCGCGAAACAUAUGAGAUGUUUUGAGGGCUGAAAUUGGGAUUUCAGGCUCGUGCCCAUGUCAAGAGGUAUAAGACCUCCGAUGACUUUCUUAACCUGCAAACUAAGGAGAAAAGCUCAAUUGUUGAGCUUGUGCUCAGAUUGUCUGAGUACAACAAUCAUUUGAAUCGAGUGGGAGUUGAUCUUCCAGAUAAGACAGUGAUGGUUCUCCAAAGUCAUUGCCACCAAGCUGUUAGAGCUUCGUGAUGAACUAUAACAUAUCAAGGAUAGAUAUGAUGAUCCUUGAGAUAUUCGCGUUGUUUGACAUCGCGAAAGUAGAAAUCAAGAAGGAGCAUCAAUUGUUGAUGGUUGAUGAAACCACUAGUUUCAAGAAGGGCAAGGGAAAGAAGGGAUACUUCAUGAAACGGCAAAUCAGCUGCUGCACCAAUGAAGAAACCCGAGGUUGAACCCAAACCCGAGACUAAGUGCUUCUGUAAUAAGGGGAACAACCACUGGAGCAGCAUUACCCUAGAUACUUGGUAGAUGAGAAGGCAGGCAAGGUCGAUAGAAGUAUAUUGGAUAUACAUUAUGUUAAUGUGUACUUUACUAGUACUCCUAGUAGCACCAGGGUAUUAGAUACCGGUUCGGUUGCUAAGUGUUAGUAACUCGAAAUAAAAGCUACGGAAUAAAUGGAGACUAGCUAAACGUGAGAUGACGAUAUGUGUUGGAAGUGUUUCCAACGUUGAUAUGAUCAAGCAUCACACGCUCCCUCUACCAUCGAGAUUGGUGUUUGCGUUGAGCAUAGACAUGAUUGGAUUAUGUCUAUCGCAAUACGGUUAUUCAUUUAAGGAGAAUAAUGGUUACUCUGUUUAUUUGAAUAAUACCUUCAAUGGUCUUACACCUAAAAUGAAUGGUUUAUUAAAUCUCGAUCGUAGUGAUACACAUGUUCAUGCCAAAAGAUAGUAAUGAUAGUACCACCUACUUGUGGCACUGCCACGUAAGUCAUAUCGGUAUAAAACGCAUGAAGAAGCUCCAUAUUGAUGGAUCUUUGGGCUCACUCGUUUUGAAAAGUUUGAGACAUGCGAACCAUGUCUAUUGGUGUAUAUGCAUGAAGAAACUCCAUGCAAAUGGACCGUUUUGACUCACUUGAUUUUGAAUCACUUGGGACAUGCAAAUCAUACCACAUGGGCAAGAUGACUGAAAAGCCUCGUUUUCAGUAAGAUGGAACAAGAUAGCAACUUGUUGGAAGUAACACAUUUUGAUGUGUGCAGUCCAAUGAGUGCUGAGGCAUGCAGUGAACAUCGUUAUAUUCUUACUUCACAGAUGAUUCAAGUAGAUGUUGAGUAUAUUUACUUGAUGAAUCACGAGUCUGAAUUAUUGAAAGAUUCAAGUAAUUUCAGUGUGAAGUUGAAAGAUCGUCGUGACAAGAGGAUAAAAGAUCUAUGAUAUGAUCAUAGAGAUGAAUAUCUGAAUCACGAGUUUGGCACAGAAUUAAGACAUUGUGGAAAUUGUUUCACAACUGAUACAGCCUGGAACACCAUAGUGUGAUGGUGUGUCCAAACGUCAUAGUUGCACCCUAUUGGAUAUGGUGCAUACCAUGAUGUCUCUUAUCGAAGUACCACUAUAGUUUAUGGGUUAGGCAUUAGAGACAACCACAUUCACUUUAAAUAGGGCACCACGUAAUUCCGUUGAGAUGACACCGUAUGAAUUAUGGUUUAGAGAAACCUAAGCUGUCAUUUCUUAGAAGUUUGGGGCUGCGAUGCUUAUAUGAAAAAGUUUCAGGUUGAUAAGCUCGAACCCAAAGCGGAUAAAAUGCAUCUUCAUAGGACACCCAAAACAGUUGGGUAUACCUCCUGUCUCAGAUCCGAAAGCAAUAAGGGAUUGUUUCUAGAAUCAGGUCCUUUCUCGAGGAAAAGUUUCUCUCGAAAGAAUUGAGUGGGAGGAUGGUGGAGACUUGAUGAGGUUAUUGAACCAUCACUUCAACAAGUGUGUAGUAGGGCACAGGAAGUUGUUCCUGUGGCACCUACACCAAUUGAAGUGGAAGCUUAUGAUAGUGAUCAUGAAGUUUCGGAUCAAGUCACUACCGAACCUCGUAGGGUGACAAGGAUACGUACUACUUCAGAGUGGUACAGUAAUCCUGUCUUGGAAGUCAUGUUGCUAGACAACAAUGAACCUACGAGCUAUGGAGAAGCGAUGGUGGGCCCGGAUUUCGAUAAAUGGCUCAAGGCCAUAAAACCCGAGAGAGGAUCCAUGUAUGAAAACAAAGUGUAGACUUUGGAAGAACUACUUGAUGGUCGUAAGGCUGUUAGGUACAUAUGGAUUUUGAAAGGAAGACAGACAAUGAUGGUAAGUGUCACCAUUGAGAAAGCUCGACUUGUCGUUAAGAUGUUUUUCGACAAGUUCAAGGAGUUGACUACGAUGAGACUUUCUCACUCGUAGCGAUGCUAAGAGUCUGUUGGAAUUAUAUUAGCAAUUACUGCAUUAUUUAUGAAAUCUUGCAGAUAGGAUGUCAAAACAUUGUUUCCUCGACGAUUCUUGAGGAAAGGUUGUAUGUGAUACAAUCGGAAGGUUUUGUCCAUCCUGAAAUAUGCUAAUAAGUAUGCAAAGCUCCAGCAAUCCUUCUGAGGACUGGAGUGAGCAUCUCGGAGUUGGAAUGUAUGCUUUGAUGAUGAUCAAAGAUUUUGGGUGUAUACAAAGUUUAUGAGAAACUUGUAUUUCCAAAGAAGUGAGUGGGAGCACUAUAGAAUUUCUGAUGAGUAUAUGUUGUUGACAUAUUAAUGAUCAGAAAUGACGUAGAAUUUCUGGAAAGCAUAUAGGGUUAUUUGGAAAGUGUUUUCAAUGGAAAACCUGGACUAAGCUACUUGAACAUUGAGCAUCAAGAUCUAUAAGGAUAGAUCAAAACGCUUAAUAGUACUUUCAAAUGAGCACAUGCCUUGACGUGAUCUUGAAGGUGUUCAAGAUGGAUCAGUCAAAGAAGGAGUUCUUGUCUGAGUUGUAAGGUAUGAAGUUAAGACUUAAAGCUCGACCAUGGCAGAAUAGAGAGAAAGGAACGAAGGUCGUCCCCUAUGCUUAAGACAUAGGCUCUACAGUAUGCUAUGCUGUGUACCGCACCUGAAGUGUGCUUUACCAUGAGUCAGUCAAGGGGUACAAGAGUGAUCCAAGAAUGGAUCACAGGACAGCGGUCAAAGUUAUCCUUAGUAACUAGUGGACUAAGGAAUUUUCUCAAUUAUGGAGGUGGUAAAAGAGUUCGUCGUAAAGGGUUACGUCGAUGCAAGCUUAACACCUAUCCGGAUAGCUCUAAGUAGAGAUACCGGAUAUGUAUAAUGGAGCAACAAUUUAGAAUAGCUCCAAGUAGAACAGUUAUUUGGAAUAGCUCCAAAUAGAACGUGGAAGCUGCAUCUAGGAGAUGACAUAGAGAUUUGUAAAGCACACACGGAUCUGAAAGGUUCAGACCCGUUGACUAUAACCUCUCUCACAAGCAUAACAUGAUCAAACCCAAAACUCUUUGGGUGUUAGUCACAUGGGGAUGUGACCUUGAGUGUUAAUCACAUAUCAAUGUGAACUAGAUUAUUGACUCUAGUGCAAGUGGGAGACUGUUGGAAAUAUGCCCUAGAGGCAAUAAUAAAUUGAUUAUUAUUAUAUUUCCUUGUUCAUGAUAAUCGUUUAUUAUCCAUGCUAGAAUUGUAUUGAUAGGAAACUCAGAUACAUGUGUGGAUACAUAGACAACACCAUGUCCCUAGUAAGCCUCUAGUUGACUAGCUCGUUAAUCAAUAGAUGGUUACGGUUUCCUGACCAUGGACAUUGGAUGUCGUUGAUAACGGGAUCACAUCAUUAGGAGAAUGAUGUGAUGGACAAGACCCAAUCCUAAGCCUAGCACAAAGAUCGUAGUUCGUAUGCUAAAGCUUUUCUAAUGUCAAGUAUCAUUUCCUUAGACCAUGAGAUUGUGCAACUCCCGGAUACCGUAGGAGUGCUUUGGGUGUGCCAAACGUCACAACGUAACUGGGUGGCUAUAAAGGUACACUACGGGUAUCUCUGAAAGUGUCUGUUGGGUUGGCACGAAUCGAGAUUGGGAUUUUGUCACUCCGUGUAAACGGAGAGGUAUCUCUGGGCCCACUCGGUAGGACAUCAUCAUAAUGUGCACAAUGUGACCAAGGGGUUGAUCACGGGAUGAUGUGUUACGGAACGAGUAAAGAGACUUGCCGGUAACGAGAUUGAACAAGGUAUCGGUAUACCGACGAUCGAAUCUCGGGCAAGUACCAUACCGCUAGACAAAGGGAAUUGUAUACGGGAUUGAUUGAGUCCUUGACAUCGUGGUUCAUCCGAUGAGAUCAUCGUGGAACAUGUGGGAGCCAACAUGGGUAUCCAGAUCCCGCUGUUGGUUAUUGACCGGAGAACGUAUCGGUCAUGUCUGCAUGUCUCCCGAACCCGUAGGGUCUACACACUUAAGGUUCGAUGACGCUAGGGUUAUAAAGGAAGUUUGUAUGUGGUUACCGAAUGUUGUUCGGAGUCCCGGAUGAGAUCCCGGACGUCACGAGGAGUUCCGGAAUGGUCCGGAGGUAAAGAUUUAUAUAUAGGAAGUCCUGUUUCGGCCAUCGGGACAAGUUUCAUGGUCAUCGGUAUUGUACCGGGACCACCGGAAGGGUCCCGGGGGCCCACCGGGUGGGGCCACCUGCCACGGGGGGCCACAUGGGCUGUAGGGGGUGCGCCUUGGCCUACAUGGGCCAAGGGCACCAGCCCCUAGAGGCCCAUGCGCCAAGAUAUAGGAAAAAGGGGAGAGUCCUAAAGGGGGAAGGCACCUCCGAGGUGCCUUGGGGAGGAUGGACUCCUCCCCCCCUCUUAGCCGCACCCUUUCCUUGGAGGAAGGGGCAAGGCUGCGCCUCCCCCCUCUCCCCUGCCCCUAUAUAUAGUGGAGGGGAGGGAGGGCAUCCAUACCUGAGCCCUUGGCGCCUCCCUCCCUCCCGUGACACCUCCUCCUCUCCCGUAGGUGCUUGGCGAAGCCCUGCAGGAUUGCCACGCUCCUCCAUCACCACCACGCCGUUGUGCUGCUGCUGGAUGGAUUCUUCCUCAACCUCUCCCUCUCUCCUUGCUGGAUCAAGGCGUGGGAGACAUCGUCGAGCUGUACGUGUGUUGAACGCGGAGGUGCCGUCCGUUCGGCACUAGGAUCAUCGGUGAUCUGAAUCACGACGAGUACGACUCCAUCAACCCCGUUCACUUGAACGCUUCCGCUUAGCGAUCUACAAGGGUAUGUAGAUGCACUCCCCUUUCUACUCGUUGCUGGUCUCUCCAUAGAUAGAUCUUGGUGUUACGUAGGAAAAUUUUGAAUUCCUGCUACGUUCCCCAACAGAGGCGACAUUGGAAUGCUCGACCGAUGUUCUUCUUCCAGUGAACUCCACAGCGGCGACAUUGGACGUUGCCAAAAGCACCUUGUCCGAUCAUAUAUGAUGGGUGAAAAUUGUUUGUCACAGCUGCAACAUCUUUGAAGCUUUGAAAAUUCAAAACCUUCAAUGGGGCUUCGUGUCCUAAAACCUUCACAAGUGCUCAAAUCUCCUAGGCCUAGUAAUUUUGUAGUAUUUGUGAGCAUUGAGCAGCAUAAUGCAGAAUUGGUUUAUGUCACAUAUGCAUGAGCAUAGUACACUGUGUCUUUGGACCUGCAAACCCAUAUCACAAUGGAUAAGCAUGUGAGCACCAGCAUGCCUGCUAAAACCGGCAACAAAUUUUCAUCAUGUUUUCUCUUUCUUCCUGUCUUGAGAGAUUCAGAUUGAUGUUAUCAGACAAUGUUUGUGGUACAAAUUCCAGCAAACUCACAAUGAUCAAAUAUUACUAUGGGGAAGGUUAAUUUGUGUGGUACCUGCAGUAGCCACGCCAACGACAGGGAGGAGCAGCGUGUCGCUGCCAGCAACACUGCCUCCCAACUUCUUGGCGUCGAUGAGGUCCCCCAGCCAUACCAGGCACCUGGUGGCGUCCUCCUUGGAGCUGUUGCUCAGGUUGGCCCGCCGAUCUACAAGCUCCAGCCUCCGCCGCCGCCGUUCUGCAAGCUCCAGCUGCCACCGCCGAUCCAGCCGCCCCCGCCGCUCUACAUCGAGCAGCCGCGCCACCCCCAGCCACUCGAGCCGCCGCGUUGACCUCCAGCGGCGCCGUUUGACAAGCUCCAGCCACCACCGUUGAUCCAGCGGCGCGACAGAAGCUGUCUCCGCCGUGACCAAUGGCGGGGCACUACGAUGGCGACUGCAAGGGGAUGGGAGAGAGUAGCGAGGGUUGCUGGGAGCGGAGGGAUGGGGCGCGGCGGCGGAGGGAACCCUAGCGCCGGGCGUCUCUGGUUCUCGUGCGAGAGAGAGCUUCCGUCGAAUCGUUUUUUCUUUCACUUAAUAGAAUAAAUUAAUGGAUAUGAAAGCGUAAAUUCUCGUGAAGAAGCGUAUUGUGACGGUGAACCCACGGAGUCAAUCCGUGCUUUAUUAUUAGGGACUAGCACAAAUGCCCGUGGGUUGCAACGGGAGAGAAUACUGAUGUGUACUCAAAUUCAGUAAGAAAAUUGCUCGUGCGUUGUAACGGGAAUACAUUGUUAAUUUUUUGUCACGGCAGCAAAAUGUGCAAGGAAGAAAACAUGCAAGGUUAUGCUUGUUUUGAUCUCGCCGCGUCCUGGUUGGCACUCUUCUUGCUCUAUAUCACGUACAACAACCUGACAACACCUGAGAUCCUGAUAAUUUCAAAUAUUGAUAAUGACUUUUCAACCUCGAUGAACAUGUAUAUACCUAAGUUUAGGCGCAACAAAAAUGUACCAAAUUGAACCAUGCAAGUCAUAUGUCAUCUAUAACAAUAAUCAAUUUAAGUCCACCUAUGCAAAUUCCUUUAUCAACCAGAGCAACCAGAUAACAGAACAUAUAAAAAUAGGAAGAUGCACGUUAUUAUCUAAUUCAUUGAGAGGAAUUGUACAGCAUGGGACUACAGUAUAGACACAAAAUCAGAAAAAAAAAUAAUAGAAUACAUUAGUGAACUGGCGUUUUGUGGUAGCGUAACUUCGGAUAGCGGAUCUUUGAAGCUCGGCAAGGAUCAACGGCAACGGCGGGGGAUCGAUCACUGGUGACUUAGAAAUAGGCCCUAUACCUUAAAAAAAUAUUUUGAGACCCAUGAGAGAUACUCCUGAACAAAAAAAAACAC